This 59618-nucleotide long non-coding RNA is filed under the name Xyrichtys novacula (pearly razorfish). Lineage: Eukaryota; Metazoa; Chordata; Actinopteri; Labriformes; Labridae. The record is from RNAcentral.
GUACCAGAUAAGCACAUUAAACUAUAAUCCAUAAACGUAAGGUAACAACCGAGACCUAAUGAUGCUGUGACAGCAACGCAAUUGAGUUUGAGACAGUGAAAAUACAUAUGGUAUGUUGUAUCUGAACAGGUUAGCUUACGAGCUAAAGUUACUUAGCACAGAUGAAAGUAAAAACAAAGACGUUUAGCAAACUGUUAAAGCACACAAACCAUCGUCAUAUGAGAAAUCCGACGCUAUGACUCUCCACAAGUUGUCAUUAUCCUUGUAAUAUUUGUGUCUUUAAUCAAAAAGCACUCUGUUCUGCGACACGUAAACAAUCAGCCAGUCGGCCAUGUUGGAUAUACUGGUGAAUCUGACGUCGCAUCAACAUGCAAUCUGAUUGGUCAGAAGUGGACACACAGCAUGCAAAACUUAAGAAAAAUCAACCGUGAAAUGAAAAAUAAAAUGUUGCAAUAUCCCAGGACGGGAAAACGUUGCCGAUGUGAACACUUGACACAUUGACAGGAUACGGGUUCGAAAAAAAUAUUGACGUCCGAAAUAAUGGCACCAAAAAAACGCUUCCGGUGUGUAAGGACCUUUAUUCUUGACUCCUUGGUUUCCAAGUUUCAAGCAAAAUGUACUUCCAUUUGUUUUCUCUGUUCAUGACCUUCUAACUCCAGCCUCAGUCAUGAAGCUCACUGAAUCGACUGUUCCUGAUGAUCCUACCAAGGCUGUUACUUGUGCACCUUUUCCUCCCACACGUUUCCCUUCCAGUCAAUUUAACAUGAAAAUGCUUCAACGCAGCACUCAGCAAUGACCUUCUUUGGCUUACUCUCCUUGUGGAGGGUUUCCAUGACUAUUUCUGGACGACUAUUGAGUCAGCAGUCUUCCACCUUGGCUGGUGGAAAACGCUGGACUUUUUCAAGAUUUUCCAAUUUGUUGGAUUGAACCUGUAGUUACUUAAUCUGCUAGUUUUACCCAUAGGCUGCAUAUAGAAUGGACAGAGUCUGCCUCUUCGAUGGGUGAAGCCACUCCGAGAACAGCAACCUCUGGUGACGGGCUGCAGUAUAGGUUAUAAAUCCGAUGUUGCGAUGUUGACAUGUAGUUCUUGUAAGAUUGGUUUUUGUGCUCAGGUCCUCUUUUUUUCUGUACAGCUCCGUUUUCAAAAGUUAUUAGGGGGUUCAAGUUUUCUGUGAUUGACACCAGAUACAGCCAAGGGGCGUACAAGGAUUGCGUAGCUCACCCGGGGGCUACACUGUUUGAGGCGAGCGUCAUCACAGCGAGUGGAGAAAAAUGCGGAAUUCCCAAGAGCUUUUCGCCUUUAAAUCUGGCAAAACGUGGAACCAAGUUGUCCAUAGUAUAUAAAGUCUAUGGUUUUACCCAGAGUUUACACUUGACCCUGCAAAACUACUUCAUCAGGAGGUCUCUCUGGGGUUUAAAUGUCAUGAUGCUAAUGCCAGUACAACCAUCACCAGGAAUACUCACUUUAUUUCCCAAUCAUGCAAACGCUAAUGUCUUGAAUUCUUGUGCAAAAUCUGGCUUGUCCACUUGGAUUCUUAUGAAGUUUCCUCGACUUUUGGCUGUUAAAGGUUUUAUUUCACAGUGGUACCUGAAGCUGCCCAUUUGAGGUCCAUUCUUUCAUUUCCUACAUGCUAGAGAUGGAGGGUGAGUCCUCGACGUCAUCUGAAAACACAGCAGUCUUUUUCAAUUUCUGCAGAAAGAUACGCAUCUCUUCUUUUGCUCCUUUUUUUUCUAACAAUGCCGGCAGCUGCCCCGGAGGUCCAUUCCCUUUGCUUUCUUUUCCUUUUAAGCGCACGCAUGGAGGGUCGUCGAGAAAAAGACCCCUCUGCUGGCGUGCCGCUUUCAUCCGAAUCAAAAAAUUAUCGGCCUGAACUGCGUUGAACUUUCAUCGGAGGCUGAGCGCUAAUGACUCAGGAUCCCUGGCUUUGGAAAAAAGGGAAAAGGUGGGGGUUGAGAAAAGCUCCGGCGGUAGUGAAAUAACACUCUAAAAGAGCUCAUUACUACCAGGCAACCCUCUCUUCUUCUACUGUACAUGCAGCUAUCAUUACGGCUGCAUUUUUGGAUAUAAUGACCUUGUGCUGCUACAUGGCUGCCACGGGUUAUAUCCCUAAUGGUCCUCAAGCCACUGUCGCUAAAAAGUAACACAAGUUAAGGACACACGUGCAAGCGCGCUCACACACACAAAGUCAAUGACAGUAUUUCCCGGGCCAUCCCAGAAGGAUCCAAAAGCCCUUGGCCGCGUGGAGUGUCUCGCCACCUCGGUCUGAGUGGUCAGAAAUGUGUAUGUAAAUGUGUAUGUGUGUAUCAUCCUAUCAGACGUGUUCACAUAGCGAGCCAUAUCGAUGUGACACGGCGGAAAGCGAGGCUGAUUGCGGGUGUUUUUUCCCCCCCCACUACUAACAGGGUGUUUGACGGCGGCGAGCGUGCUUUAUGGAAGGUCAUUUACAUCAAGUUGGGCUUGAUGUAAAUUGGACGCGUUUCAAUUGGCUAUUAGAUAACUCGGUUACAUCACGGCUUCUGUGGGAUCUAUUUCCUGCUCCAGUGAUCAAGAGCGAGGAAGGGGGAGAGGGAAAAAGAAAGGAGAGGAAGACGUUAAAAGAGAAAAGAAACUUCCACUUUCGGAGCUGAAAGGGUUAAUUUUCUGUCUUUAUAUGUUAAAAUUAGGAUGAUAUGCAGUGAGGACCAGAAAAUAGCAACCAACAGAGAAAAAGGAGUUCAAAAGCCUUCUGUAUUCCCUUUGAUGUGGCCGCUUGAUCAUGCAAGGGAGCAGCAACCAACUGUAAUGUAAAAAUACAUUUCGGGUGACACAUCCCGCUAUUUUUCCUCGCUAAAUGUGCCUCAGAUCAAAGGAAGUACAUAAUUUUGUUUUUCCACUCAAACUUUAAGCGCUCCCAGGUCCACUGUGAAUAAUCCAUUUUAAGACUUAUUCACACUGUGUACCUUUCGGGGGCUGAGCAGCGGGGUUACGGGAGGUGGGAGGGAGCGUUUGUCUUCCUCCACUGUUUCUUCCAGUUUAGUCACGACUCCUCGGGAAGGCCGAUGGAUCGGCGGAGCGACCACCCGCCUGACCGGCGGUGCGCGCCGCGUCGUUUCCUAUAACGCUGACGCGGGGAACAAAAGGAAGAAUACAUUGAAUAUUUCAGGAGCGUGUCUUCCCUCGUAAUCUCUCUGUAGCUCAGGUGGAAGCGGAGUGUUAAUAGUGUUGAUGCACGUGUCCAUGCAUCAGCUCAGAGUAUCCGACAAGCCCCGGGAAUCUGAAUAAUUUAUGUCGAACAUGAAAGUAAAUAGAAUCGCUUGUAUGUGUUGUUGCGGGAAAUUGUUUCAUUCCCCUGUUGUGUUUUUGAGCGGAGGGAUGAUGUCUUGUCAGUGCCAAUCAUUUUCAGGUUCACCCCCGCUCAAAUUUUCGAGCUGAUUCAAAUAUCUGUGCUCAAUAACUCAAUUUUCUUCUCCUACGACUAUCCCAGCAAGGAUUCGAACAAGAACAAGAUACAGUGUGUUUUUCCAACCUUACAAUAAACCCGAUAUCAUCUCUCCCAGUUGAAUAUGUAUGUGCAAAGAUAAGGUAGAAAGUAAUUAAUUUUUAAAUCCCCUUUCUUGCUUCUCUGUGUGCGUUCGUGCUUCUUUUCUUUGACUUUCCGGGGCAGGCCAUUACUUUCCUCGGGGACACGCCGCCCUGUUACACCGGCGUCACAAGAGCUUUUCUCUGCAGGCAUCUAAAAACGACAUUGUUUCCCAGUGUGCGCACUCAUGUUUUUAAAUAAGAGCACGGAUGCGAGAAGGAAACAGAGAAAUGAGACGGCUAAGGUGUUGUAAAAAACCUCUGUGAAUUGGCUGGAAAUAGAAGAAAUGCAUAUCUCAAAGCUGGGAGUCUCAUUAAGCAUCUGAAACAAUAAAUUAACUGAAAAUAAACCUCAUUAACAAUUAGGAAACCUGCUCACUGUGAAGUUUACAUCAAUUCUGUUUGACUGUGUGGAGAAGAAAUUAGGCGAAGAUCAGAAGGGAAGGAAGACGCCCUGCUUACAUAAGACAGCCAGUACUAUUCAUUAAAAAGUGGCGAAUCACAAAGUGGCUGAUUGAAUUAAAUAAUAAGCUGCAUACAGAAGUGCAACUGCUACCAAACAGAUCUACGCAUCAGCAAUAGAAAUGCAAAUUUAGCAUUAAUUUAAAGGCAGCUAAAAAAAAACUGUUAUUUUCAAUCGACUGGUUAAAACUGAACUUUUGAAAUGCGUGUUAGCAUAUUCGUCCGUCACAUUAGUCUCUUGAUUUUCUGUGUCAUAGAGAGCAGCAACCCCUGGUGACUGGUUGCAGUAUAGGUCACAAACCCUGCUUUAAAGGGAUAUUCCAGCAUAAAAUUAAAUUAGGGUCAAACACACUAUAACACCGAGUUAGACACCCCGUCGAGAGAUGAAUGUUGUUGACCGCUUGCUUCUCUAGUCCAGUGGUUCUUAACCCUGUUUGAGGUACCGAACCCACCAGUUUCAUAUGCACAUUCACCGAACCCUUCUUUAGUGAUAAAUCAAAUGUGAUUUUUUUCCAAAUUCAAGACAUAGGUAUAUGAUUUUUUACUGGUACACAAAAUGAACCGUGCAUGAACAUCAUCUUGAUCAAAGAACAAAACCAACACAGUGCAUGAACUCACAACAAAUUACAUACCUGCAAAUCAGUGUGACUUCUGCUGUUGCUUUUGAGAGACCAGUUCAGAUAUGCGUGGCUUCACCUUGGCAAGUGCUACUCUCAUGUCAUUUUCACAGCAAAGUCUGUUCCUUUUCUUUGUUUUUAUGUCCAGCAUCCUCGAAAAAGAUUGUUUGCAGAGAUAUGUUGUAACAAAUGGUAUAAAAAAUUCCAGGGCUUUCUUAGCAAUAAUUUGGUACUUUUCCAACUGAAAAAUCGUUUAUAUCAGCAGAAGACGUCGGAUUUAAACAAUUUCUGCCGACUUUGUAGAGUCAACUGCAGAAUUAACGGCGUUCUGAAUGAACGGGGCUUUGAAAAGUCCCGCAGCAUGUGUUAGACGUCACCACUACGCAUGGACCAAUCAGGGGCUGCCUUUCCCUGUUGUCCGGGUAACAGUGGAAACACGGUCUCUGAUUGGCCCGGUUAUUUUCUGAUCGGGAAUACACGCUCUCUAUGGGCCGAAGUCCAGACUGUGGUGGGAAGGAACAUCAAGUGAUUCACGCAACAGGAUGGCCCAGCCAGGCUACCGUGGCGGAGGCUCCACCGAACCCCUGAGACCGACUCACCGAACCCCUAGGGUUCGAUAGAACCCCGGUUAAGAACCACUGCUCUAGUCAUACCAACUUUAGUAAAGAAAGCAAUACAGAGAGCCACGCACUCAACCAAAACGCCACUCUAUAGCCACAAAUAAUGCUCAGAACAGCACCUAACUUCAUCAACAGUACAUAUAGGGUCCCAGCCACAGCACUAGCCACCAAACAUCUCUUUAACUUUGCCUAAUUUCUUUAGCAAAGAUAUUAAACACAACUCACCUACUCUCUUCCAGCAGCAUCUUGUUUGUACAGGGGGAUGCAGCUCAAGGAAGAACAUGUAUGAUCAUUUCCUCAUGGAAAAAGCAAUCAGACUGAGACGCUAAGGCAGAAGAUCUACUGUGUCUGCAGUGCAAAAUGAUUAACAUGAUGACUAUUACUUUAAGAAAAUGAAAGAGUAAUUAUCAUAAAUGUUCUUCCUUGAGCUGCGUCACCCCCGCUGCAGUCGAUGGACUUGCCUUGAGGUGUUCAUAUAAUCAAUCGGCUGUUAGAAGAGAGAGGGUGAGUUGUGUUUAGUCUCUUUGCUAAAGAAAUUAGGGAAAGUUAAAAAGAUGUUGUUGGCUAGUGCUGCGGGUGGGACCCUAUAUGUACCGUUGAUGAAGUUAGGUGCUGUUCUUAGCAUUAUUUGUGGCUAUAGAGUGGCGUUUUGGUUGAGCGCAUGGCUCUCUGUAUUGCUUCCUUUACUAAAGUUGGUAUGACUCGAGGGUGUCUAACUCGGUAUUACGGUGUGUUUGACCCUAACUUAAUAUUAUGCCGGAAUAUUCCUUUAAAUAAAAUUCAUAUACAUUUUUCCUUCCCCCUGGUUGUGAUGUUGACUUCUAGCUAUUGUUGGACUGGUUUGUACUCAAAUCCUCUUUUUUAUCAUUUUUUUAAAAGUAAUUGGGGUUUAUAAAAACAGGAAAUUACAUCAUAUUUUCUAUGACUGAGACCUGCAUAGAGUCAAUGGUAAUAUGAAGCUUGCAUAGGACAUUCAGAGGGUACGCUCAACAGCGACUCUGAUGAUGGGAGGCGGAGUCACGUUGUCCAUUCUAUACGCAGUCUAUGGUUCUGCAUAUGCUCCGGUAUUCACAUGCUGGGCUGAAUAGCAUGGACGCAUUGCUAAGAUGUUAAAUACAGUUCCUAUGCGUCCUUUCCCAGAGAACUAUUUUUUGCCAUUUGUAAAAAGUCUGAGAAACUUCAUCCAAAGAGUCUAUGAGAUGCAGUUACAGAGGGAGACGGAUUAGUAUGGAACCACUGAAAAGAAGCCACUUUACUCAUCUGAUGGGUUAUUUAGCUCCGAAUCCUGACAGUCUGGAAGCUGUCUGUGAUGUCCAGUCCGUCAAAGAGAGGUGGUUUGAAAAUGGCACUCAACGGAAAAAGUAAGCGACAAAAGGAAAAUGUCAGGAGAUUGGCAGUCUCAGCUAAAAAGGAUUGCCAUCAAGUCAGAAAUCUUUCUUUUUUUUUUUUUUUUUUUUACUGCGGCGCAUCAGCAGACACAAAUGUGAUACUAGGAAAGUCAAUCUAAAUUCUGCUAUCACAGGCAGCAGUCCUUUCACCUGCUCUAUUUACAUUUCCUUGCAUCACUUUCUCGCAUUUUAAGUCGGAGGAACAGACACAAGAAAACGGAAAAGUGAGGGGAAACAUAACGGACCAGUGUGUCACGGCUAACCGUGGUUUCAAGGUCCAAGGAGAGUAAAGACACCGGGCCUCAUUAGUCUGUAUGCAGAGAGAAAGUACUAUUCUCACGUGGCAUUUAUAUUUUAAAAAGUAACAACCUUUUCACAACCUUUUCAACCGAGCUGCUCUUUAGUUUUGUUAAAAAGUCCAAGAGAGACUGAAUUACUAUGAAACUGCUCUUAAAUCCAACGUCUAUCACCGGAUUAUAGACAAAUUAUAGAGAUAACAUCUUGAGAACAGGCCUAUCUGCACAUAUCAUUGCCUCAAAACUAGGGCCCAACCGAUUUAUCGGCAAUCGGAUUCAAUAGGCCAAUUGUAGCCCAUUUGAGACUAAUCGGUAAUCUGCCAAAACUUGAAACGUCCCACCAUUUGAAAAGUUCCCCGACUUAUCCUGUAGAUGGCGCAGCGACCUCAUGACAAUCUUCAUCCACUAACUACCUCACAGCACAGCAGAGUGACGGAUCUGCAGCAGGCCUCUCCGGGACGCACGGAGGAGAGUGGUCCGCCUCAACGGUAAAUAAACCAGUUUGUGAAAUACACAAUAAGUCAACAAGUUUCAGUUUAACCCACUUCACGAUGUUCCCCGCUGUGCUGGUCUCGGUCACGCCGAGUUAACGGUGAAGCACCACGUAAUAGCCAAGCUAAAGUUAGAGUUAGCCAUUUGCUAUUAGCCUAGCUACACUGUUAGCCGUGCCAGUAACGGUAGAAUAAGUCAAGUAUAUAUAUAUAUUUUUUAUAACUUCAUAAAAAAUUCGUCUGAUUAAUCGGUAAUCUGAUUUUUUUCCCUCCCUAACAAUCGGUAUCGGCAUCUGCCCCCAAAAAUCCGUAUCAGUUAGGCCCUACUCAAAACCCAUAAAGCACUUCUUAAAAAACGUAAAUCCUCUCUCUUUUGGUCUUGGAUGUCAUGAAAAGGCAUCAUUAUGAGUUUCAGUCGAUUUCGUCAACGUCAAAAACUCCCUAUUUGAGCUGUAAACAUUUUUUUAUCUCUACUUUAAGACUUAAAAGCUUCUGAGCACAAGAAAUGUUUAUAACCUAAAUAUUGUUGAUGGAUGUUGAGAGAGAAAAAUCCUCUCAAAGCAGCCUAGAGGUCACACCAAAAUAAAGCAAAAAAACACCGGCCACUUAGCAGAGACAGAAAGCCAGGAAAUACGAGAUAACUUAAUAACCUGUCCCUGUUGUGGUUUGCUUUGCUGUCAAGCAUAUGGCACUCUAAAGGCAAUCUGGUAUUCCUGACUGCCUGGGAGGCUAAAUUCAUAUCUAACUGCCUGACAGACUGCCCCUGUAUGGCUCUACUUCCUGUCAGACAUCUGGUAUUGUCUGGCAGCUACCUCUUCUAGCUUGGCUUCCUGGGAAGCUUUACAUGGCAUUCUGCUGCCUAACAGACUGCUUUUUUGUUUAGCAGCCUCUAGCUAGUAUCACUUUGUACCUACUUCCUUAAAGGCAUUGGUUUUAAAAUGCAGCCCGGAAGGCCGGUUCUAAUUUCUCUGAAGUCCCUGCCAAAAUGCCUUGGCAGAAUCUCCCUAAAGUGCGUGUUUUCUCAGCAUGGAAAUAACCCGCGUCACAACGGCUGUUCCUAAGACGAACUCCCUCUAAGUGUUCAAGAAGAGCUAUUUUAGUUCAAUUGAACAAAGAUAGAGUAAUAUGAGUAACAGCCUGUUUGCUGGGAUCCAGUGGUAUUUUUAAAUAUGAAGAGGUCUAAGGUUUUUCUGAAGGCAGAUGUAGGCGGGUUAGAUAAUAAAAUGCAAACUAGUCCGUAAACUAAACAGAUGAAUCACCCACAUCUUCCUUGAUGGGAGAAAUGAUCAAGAAUAUGAGAGCAAUCUCAGACAAUUUGACCUUUGAAAGCAGUAAUUACCCUACACUUGAGUGGAAUUUAGACACCCUACUAAUUCAGCCUGUCAUAACCUUAUGUUAGGAGAAGUUGGGACAAAGUAAGACAACAGAUCAAAUGCUGAAACUUUUUGCAUAAAAGUAUGGGCUCAUUUCAUAUUUAAUGCCAGCUUUGGUUAACCCUCGGCUUCGCCAACUCUGUCUAUUCGGCAUCAUAUGUUGCUCUAACACUUGUAUAUUUAUUCUCCAGCAAUGAAGAGCUGCAAUGUCCAUGAUUUCCAAAAAGAAUGUCAAUAAAUGUGUAUUUUUUAAGUUGUUUUAAGCACAUGCAGGGAUUUCCACUACAGAGCCAUGUCUAAUUUUAAUGUAGCAUCACUGCUGGGCUUUGUCACUUUUGUUUUCCUUAAGAAUUCCUGAAUAUUUUAUAUGAUAUUAACUACCACAGAUAAUAACAAAAAUAAUACAAAAUAAAAUUAAUAAUAAUAAUAAUAAUAAUAAUAAUAAACUAAAAACAACGAUAAUAAUAAUAGUGAUAAAAAUAACAUCAACAACAACACUAAAAACAACAAUAAUAACAACAAAAAUGAUAAUAACUAAUAAUAAUAAUAAUAAUAACAACAACAGCACUAAAAACAAAAAUAAUAACAAAAAUGAUAAUACAAGAAAACAACAACUUUCAAUUCCUUUUAACUGUUUGCUCACGCAGUCUCUCACUGAGUGGUAAACCUGUCUCUAGAUGUUAGAAUGCCUGUUUUACACUCAGUCUAGUCACUAUACUGCAAAUUAACCUUAUUAAAUGGGAUAUGUUGCUGUCCCUGUCCGAAUAGAGCAGAAUGUGGCAUCCAUGAUUUCCAAAAAGACUGUCAAGGUUUUUUUUCAAGGCCGUUUUGAGCCCAUGCAGCAACUUCCACUACAGAGUCAUGUCUAUUUUUAAUACAGUGUUGCCUGAGGGACACAAAAUCACUGCCAUUCAGGGUUAGUUUUCAUAAUAUUCUCUUAACCUUUUGCUGGUAAUAAAAACAAGCUGAGGAUUGGAUAAUGCAGCGUCCAUGAUUUCCAAAGAGGAUGUCAUAGGCUGUGUCCGAAAUGGAUCCCUAACCCCUAUAUAGGCGAUGAUAUGGGGGUUAGCGCCAUUUUGAGGAGCGUCUGAAACCUGAGUGAUCAAUUCUAACUAGACACGGCAGUCUGAGCAGUGACGUCACAACGGUGCGCCAUGUAGUGUCCAAAACCUCCGGUGAUUGAGCUCACUACAUAGUCAGCUAUAUAGUGAAACCCCAUAUGGGGGUUAGGGAUUGAGUGAUGGACACAGCCAUACUCUGAUUUGUCUGACUGACUCCAGGACAGGUUUCACUUUUGCCUGAUUUCUAAAAAGGCUCCGGCCCAGAGAAAUCCACGGAUUUGUAGAUCAUUAUUUUCUGUUUUUGUCAAUAUUUUUUUUCAGCAUCCCAGCUUUUUUAGGCUUAGUAUUGUGUACAGUGCUUAUGGUUGAACCAAACAAAGUCUGGAGACUAGCAUGUGUCAGCUGGAUGACCUUAGCACAGCUUUUGUGGCAUUUUCAAAGGCGGCGGCUGAAUAAGUUGCGACCUUGCUGCAAUGACAGUUCGUAAAGCAUAAUACCAGCAUUUCAGAUGGUUUCAAAGGUGUUCUGCCAAUUGGAUUCAAACGUCACCUCCCAAAAGGAACACAGGAACUGGCAGACUUGAAAGGCGAUGGAUUUGAAUUGAAAGAGAUGCAGACUGGCUCCUCGAGUUGGACUUCGGGCGUCGGUGCAAAUGUUCAAGAGAUUCAGUCGGACAAAAAAAAAAAACAUGGCGAGUGCAUCAAACAGUUUCAGCAUCAUGAGCAGAAUCCAAGUCCACCUGAGUUGGUAGAGAAAGGUGUCUCCAGGAGGGAAAAUAGUGGAACUUUUUCAGUUACAAAGCAGGAAAAAUGGAUAUUUGACGGAUAUUUGGCAGGAAAGUUAAAAUUCACAAUGUCGGGUGGAGUUCAAGCUUCUUUUUCACUUCAGUGUGAAGUAAUAGUAUAAUAUAGUUUCUACUGAUGAGAGAAUAUUAAAGAAAAUUUAUAUCAAAGUCGAACCAAAAAGUCCAGCCCUGUCAAAUUAAAGGUCAAAUUUAAGGGGGGAUUUCUGUCCAACUCUCUAAAGACUCCUAUUCAUUUGGUGGACUCCAUCAAAGAGGAAAACCUGAAGUAAUUUAAAUUAACCCAGGUUACAUGCUUCAAGCGACGCACCCAAUGGGAUUAUGGCGAAGCUUCUCUGAUGGAUUUACUUGAGUGUGUCUGUGUGUGAGGGAAUAUUGAGCUUUCAGCAGCCAGAUGUCUGCGCAGCAAUCCCUCAGCACAAUUACCUUCAGACAUCUGGGACCUAUAAACAAAGCGAACAGACUCCGGCUUUGUCUCUUCGUCUUUUUUCUUUCUUCUCCUUUAUCAUUAUCUUUAUGUUUUCAUCCCACAAUGCUUAUUCUUCCUUUUGUAUUUCUUUUUCCCCAUCUCCUCCCCUGCAUGGAAACACUCAUUUAUCUAUCCCUCCCUGCUUUGCUCCCAUGCCCAAACACAUGCAUUUAACUGUCUUCCCCCCUCUGCUCUACCUCCUCUGCAUCUGCCUCUACAUCUGCACAUACAUACUCAAUCCGACUCUCUUUUUCUCUCCCAGCUGGUGGCCACCUUGCUUCCUCUCUCACCCUCCUCUCCGUCUUCUCCUUGUGUUUCUCUCACUUGUCACUCCUAUCCACUCUUGUCAAAACAUCACCUCCUCCCUAGGCACUGACAACUGCAGAGCCUAUUUGCUAUUCAAAUAGUUUUUUUUUUCUUUUUCUUUUUUCACACAUCGUCACCUGGUGCGUGCAUGUAUUUGCGUGUUCGUCGAAUACAUCAUCAUGCAAAUGUUGUUUACCUGGUAAAGAGUGUCGGGUGAGUUAUUUUAAAAAAUAAGCCAUUGGAAAAAAAAGAAAAAAAACCUCCAUUGCUUUACAUAUUACUCUACAAUACGACUCCGAUUAUUCAAAUGUGGUUUCUAAAGAACUGCUACACCUACACAUUUGUUUGUAUUUCAAAGGUGUACCAACACAAACGGGAAGCCUACUGUAUAUUUACUGACUCCUUUCAGCUCCUUAAACUCGUCCUUACUUUGAACUUCACACACCCUUAAAGCUUGAAAAACACAACCUGUCAUGCGAGUAGGUUUAAGGUCAGAGCAGGAUUUUCCCAAUGACAGAAGUUGUCACAUAUAAGUUCAACCCUAGUAUCCUUUACAUACCUGUACUUUUCAAGUUGUGAUGACACAAAUGUAUCUGGUACAACCCCAAAACCAAUAAAAGUAGUUCACUAUGUAAAAUGUUGCAGAUUUCAAGAGUUUGUGAAUUAUUUAAUCUCUUAAUUUGAUUGGAAAUUUGACAAAAAAAUGGCAAAAAACUUGAACUCUUAUUUUUGGUGCAAAUUUUAGAUUUGCUGCCAACAUGUUUAAACAUCGUUGGAACAGAAGUGUGUUUACAAUAGUACAAGUUAUGGAUUUUAGUGUAAAAUGUUGCCUCUUUCUUGUCCGAUAUUAGAUUCCAGUUGUUUAACAGUUUAGGAUCUAAUUUGUCAGAUUUCAAUGAGCUGUUAAGCACCAACUGUGAAUCGUACGUCAGCCUGGAAUUUCAGUAAGUUGGUCACAGACAUUUCGUCGCUGUCCGAUGAAAAGACAUACCUCCACUUUUAGUGAUCUGGACUUUUUUCAAUACAUGCAUGGUUCAUAAUCUUCCCUAACAACCCGUAGUUUUGGGGAUCCAAAUGACCGAUGGAAAGACAUUUUAUGACAUCAUUUUUCGACAAGUAUCUCCAGUGGGUGUCAGAAGUGUCGACAAAGCAUGUAUCUCCCUGCGUUGUCAUGCCAGCAAACAGACUUUACACAGUGGCAGACUCAUUACAAUCCAGGGUAAUGCUACACUAAUGUCCUCACAUCGACUGAUGCCGACCUAAAACUAUUUUCUAAUCAUGACAGUGUUGCUUACCUGUACGCUAGAUUUCGUGAGCCGAAGUUCACUCGCAGAGGCAAAACUGCUACUGUUUUCUCUCUCACACUCGCUCACGGACUCAAGUGCAUGUUUAACUGGGAGUCACGACUCAUAAAGGUGAAAAUGUAGGCUAGCCCACUCUCAAUAGUUUAAUAGUCAAUAGUCUAUCAACAUAGUGGGACAUUGCCAUUACAAUGUGAGUUGUGAGUCUUCUCUUUAGAGAGAAGAAUAGGGCGUCCAUGAUUUCUCAUAAGAAUUGCAAAUGUGAUUUAUCUGCCUAUAGGACAGUUUUCUAUUUAGCCUCAAUUUAAAAUGGACUCCGGCCCAGAGACGUCAUAGUUAGGGAUUUCUCCUUGCAUGGUACAGUUUUAAUUUGCUUAAGCAGAUGUAGCAACAAACAGCAUUUUCUCUACUUAAUGUCAGUCACGAUUUGUUAGACACUAUUUUCUGUGCUGAAGCACCAUAAGACUUCUAACAGAACAAAUGCAAACAUAAGAAAUCAUGUCGAGUCAGGAGACUGCUUCCUUUUUUUCUUGUUUCGGAGCAAUAACCUUGUAGCUUAAGUGUUUAUUUGACAUAAGUAAUCAUACAGCUGGGGUGUUAUUAUUGUUGAAAGCUCGCAGUAAUUGCCUUGGCUCCAAUUUAAACAUUUAUUAGGGGAAUCAAAACAAGGGCAAAGGAACAUUUGGUCCAAGAUAGGAGGCAAAUCAGACCGAUUGUUUUAAAAACAAUAUACCAUUCUAGCCUCAGGAAAUUGGUUCACUUGCAAAACCUGCUGAAAACGCGUGUCAUAAUUUGAUAUCUGUGAGUAUUAUCUGGUAGUCGUGCAGUGAACGACAUAAUCAGAUGGGGCAGAGUCCGAAUGUGAUGUUUGAAAGGCCUUAAGUGUAGGAGAGGGGCUCCAGGCAAGCGUGUCCUGUUUGUUCCCUAGCCGAGGCUGGGAUAAAUAAUUUCUCUCAGGCAGGAGGCUCCAGCGCCUUGUGAUGAUUACUGGAGCCAAAUGAGUAAACGAGGCUCGGGAACGUUUACCACGGCCCAGAUAGCUCAGGUAAGCUGUCACAGCUAUCUAAAUAGGGCCGAGUGGGGGAAAGUUGGUGUGAGGUACGUGUUUUAGUCCUGAGGAUAAACAGAGGUGCAGAGGAGGCUGAUUUAAGGGAAUAAAGGUGGGUGGCAAUGUGUGGUUAAACAAGCUCUCCCUAAGAGUUAUACAAUUUACAAAUAUUGCAUUUUUAUCGUCAAGGAAUCAAGUGAUUUAUCAGUUUAAGGUAAUAAUAUUGUGGUAAGAUUCACCGCAUUUCGAAAAAGAGACCAGUUCUGUUUGCCUAUUAUCUUCAGGAACAGGCACUUACUGAAAGCAUUUGGUGCCAUGAUAUGUUCUGUUUAUUUAGUUUUCUUCACCUGAUUUUAUUUGAGUGUAUUUUUUGUAUUGUCUCUCGUGUUCCUGUUCCCCUGUAGUCCAGUCUUGUGAGUUUUCAGUUUGUGUUUGACCCUGUUUCCAUCCUGUUCUCUGUGUUAUUGUAUAGGUUAGUUUUUAGUGUUUCCCAUUUUAUUUCAUAGUAGUCGAUUCCUUGUGUUUCUAGUCUAGUUUUACUUCCCUAGUUUUCCCUCCUUCGUUAAUCACUAACGAGUUUCACCUGUGUCUCGUUUGCCUCACCUGUUGCUCGUUACCCAGUGUGUAUAUAGUCCCUGUCUUCCCCUCUGUCCUUGUUGGUAUGCCUGUGUCCCCAGUUACUCCCUGUGAUUUUGCCCUGGUAAUUUUUUGUGGAUGUUUCUCUUUUUGUUUGUUUUUUAAAUUUGUUCUUUUGACAUAACUACUUUUUUUUGUUGUUCUGCAUCUUGGGUCCUUUCCCUUUAUUGUUGAACUCUAGACCAUGACAUUUGGUGCAUCAUGGAACAUCGCAGCUGCAGAAUACAACUGUACAAUGCAAAAAGUUAAAAACAUACAAAAAUGAUCCAAAUAUGACACUCCUUUUGAAAAUUGUGGAUGCAACUCUAAAUCGGCGAGGAACCUGCUAACCCAGCAUUCAUGAUGGUAUGGCGAAGUCAGCGAAGGUACCAUUUAUAGUGUCCGAAAUGCUUUGGUGCAAAAUAUUAAAGUAUAACUAUCAAAAACACUUAAAACUUUGAGACUAAAGGUUUUUUUGUGCUGUUAUUUCGGACAUCAAUAUCAUUUUCAAACCCGUAUUCUGUCAUUACAAGCGUUCACAUCAGCAGCGUUUUACCAUCCUGCGAUAUUGCGGCACUUAUUUUUCGUAUCACAGUCAAAUUUUCAAAAGUUACACAUACUGUAUGUCCACUUUUGACCAAUCAGAUUUCGUGUUGUUGCAACUUCAGAUUCACCAGUAUAUCUAACAUGGCCGACCGGCUGAUUGUUUACGUGUCGGAGAACAGAGUGCUCUUUGAUAAAAGACACAAACAUUACAAAGAAACUUGUGGAGAGUCAUAGCGUUGGUUUUCUCAUAUGACGAUGGUUUGUGUGCUUUAACAGUUUGCUAAACAUCUUUGUUUUAACUUUCAUCUGUGCUAAGUAACUUUAGCUCGUAAGCUAACCUGUUCAGAUACAACAUACCAUAUGUAUUUUCACUGUCUCAAACUCAAUGGCGUUGCUGUCACAGCACCAUUAGGUCUCGGUUGUUACCUUAUGUUUAUGGAUUAUAGUUUAAUGUGCUUAUCUGGAACUGGCCCCCACUCAGUACAUGCUAUCAUGACAGACAGUCAUCUCAACAUUAGUGUCUAAUCAGAACUGAAAAACAGUCAGUCUGCUGUUGUGUCAGUCUUUCCGCUUCCACUCGGGACGCGUCUUUUUUCCCCCUGGAAAGUCGCAAAAUCACAUCGCGCUUUAUGUGUGUAGUAAGGCGCAUCAAAAUCCGCCUCUAAAUAUUUCAUAAAUUCACAUCGUAUAUUUGCGUCAUUCCCGGUGUGUAAGGAACUUAAGGAGGAAAUGUUUUUGAGAGAUAAAAAUUUUCACAAAUUUCCAUGUUUGUCGUGAUGAGACAAAUGAGUAUUCUUUAGGCAUCCUCUGAUACCUUGAUUUAUCCAAGAUGCAAAUUAUAGCAAGUCCAACACUAAAAGCACCUGUGGAAGCUCCACCCCUGAAAUCCCUGUCAGUCUCACUAAGUAGGAACCUCAGUAGGAAACACAUGGAGUCCCUCAUACAUCCCUUCUUUGGAAAAGUGCCUUCCAUGAGCUCACAGUUUGAUUUAAUUUACAAGAGGUUUCAUUGAACAUAUUUAUAUAACUUAUAAUCAAAGCUCUUAAGGAGUCAUUUGACAUACUCCACUCCUGAGUUCAUGAACCCUGUUUCAAUGGUUUGCACUUCCUCAUCUAAGUGACCCUUUCCCCUUCCGAUCUUCCAGUGUUUUGCAGUGAGAACACAGCCCUCCAUAUGUCUGUCCUUCCUCUUGCUGUUUAUGUUUAUAGCUCACUUGCAGUAUAACAGAUUGAGGUGCAAGGGGAACUCAAGGCCCAGGAGAUGACAAACAAAGUCAUAACAGGAGUGAUAGAAAUGUAAAAGGUUUGGAGCGAGUCAAUGGCUCUCUCAAUUUUUCACAGAAUCAUAAAAAAACGCGUUCUGUUCGACUUCACAGCUCUGCUCUCCCUCUCCUCGAUAUUAUUGACCCAGCUGGUCCCUGCUGGCUCUCUGAAUACGGGACGAGGCUUUUCAUUUAUUCUCGGACACUGUGGAGAGUCCUUGAACUGCUUGUCCCUGUCAUGUGCACUCGCUGGUGGGACCGUUGACCUUGUGGAGCAACUCAAGCGUGGCUCUUGGCAUAUGUAGAUCCCUUCGCCAGGGGCCCUCUUGUCACAAAGCAUCUCACAGAAAUGCUAAGCUAGAGUCGCUGGAAGGGUUUGGAUCAACAAACGGAAAGUGAUCCAUGUAACCGAUGAGGAUUAAAUUCUUUGAAUCAAAAAUUCAGAAGAUUAUUUCUGGCUGGUUUGGCAACACCUUUGAAACAGUUUGUAAAUACAGGAAAGACUCGCUGAGUGUUCAAUCUGUCAAAAGUACAGCAGGGUAGCAUCUGGUGUGGUUGUCUGUUUACAGUGCAACCAAACAAACUCAAACUGUUUCUAAUAAAAAGUCCAUUUAGCAGAGCUGUGCACAUGUCUUUACUUUUUAGGCAUAAACAGUGUACAUAACCUACAAAUAUCUUCAUUUGGCCCUUCACAAUAAAAGCACGGGCAGUGGCAUUUGCAUAAGAGUAGCCACGCAGAGCUAAUGAGGGUAAUUUGACAGUCCCAUCGCAAUAGACAAGUAAAUGUAGAAGAAAUAAUGAUGUAUUAUCACUGAUGAUAACUAAUAAUUACGCCUUGUCAGACAGUCAAUGGAGCCUCGACUCCAGAGGGAGAUUAUGCAGUCAAGUGGCGUCUAUGCAGGGCCGGCCAGACAAUGGCAGUGGGGGUGUUGACAUCUCUGUGAGUGACAGGCUAACUGGGGUUUAUCAGUUUGAUCCAUGUAAAAUGUGGGGGGAUUACAUGACGCGUGCUGUAAUCCUGUGGGCAGGCUUAAUCCAGACCUCCCUCCGCCCCCCUACCCCUACCAACAAAAGCAAUUUGAAGGGAGACAGUAACUAAAUCAAAAUCAAAUAAAUGGUGAUUGGAGGAGAAUGCUGAUACUGCGGCGUCUAAAAUGUUCUUCAUUUCAGUAAAAUUGGACUUGAAAGGAUACGAGUGCCAAGAGAUUCAGUCUUGGCCUUUUUAAGCCUCUAAAAAGCUAGCAAAACAUCAGCAGUCUGUGAUUCCCUACCUUCAUAAUAGUUUUAUCUUGAUUGCACAGUUUGAUAUUGACCUGGUCUCAUUGGCAAGGUAUUGGACCAUUCUUGAUAAUCUAGGAAAAGUGCCCUACUAUCUCCAGGGGCCCUGGUCUUGGCAGAAACUAGAAUCUGAUAUAGGCCGCUGAUGAAGUAUUGCGUAUUGUUUUGGAUCAUUUCCUUGCUCUUGAAAAGGUUCUUGGCCAAUACACGAACUCUUAAUUGUCAAGUUAGGUUGCUGGAUUCAGUAUCCUUACGCAGAAGUUUGUAAAGUCAAAAUAAAUAUAAGCAUCACAUUAAAUUUUGAAUGACAAAGGCGUCUUUGCUUGGGUUGAAAUGUGCACCCCAUCCGCAUAGGCCACCAGCCCUGUCCAAUGGAUGGCUGUUUGUGACUCUUGAACUUCACCAUUUGGUGCGUGAUUGCCUCAACCACAGAUAUGACCACAAAAAUACGACAUGCCCCUUUCAGCAGCAUGCCUACGGUGAGGUAAAGCUAGUGGGGGCAUUGUUUACAUUAAAGGCCAUGCAUGUAAAAAAAAAAAAAAGGUUUAAUACAAUGUUCCGUAGUAGUAGCACGUGUUUUGGCGUUGUAGAUCAUGUAAACAGUUUGAGAAAUGAGUAAGUUAUGGUUUAUUUUCAUUUUACUUGCAUUGCCUUUAAUAGAAAUGUUGCCCUCGCCAAGAUGGCUGCCAUGUAGGCUAGUUGCUUAAUGGGCUGCUACUGCACGCUGAUGUAUCCAGUCUUCUUUAUAUAUCUUUGGCCUCGACUAUUGACCAUCCCCUUGACUAACUUGACUAUUCAAUGACAUUAUCAAGGUUUUUCCUUGACAAUGACAUGAAAGGGAUCAAAAUCUGACUCAAGGCUUAAUAAAUAACGGAGGUGUCAUGCAUGAGGGGAUAAACAGGAUAAAGCAAUGAUUUGACACAGGAUAUAGCCGCUCUGUUUUUAAUGCAAUUAAUAUUCAAAGAAGUGUGUGCUAACUUAAUACCGGUCUCAAAAUACAAUCAUUGUCACCCCAAACUGUCAAUAACUGUCAGCCAGCCACACUGAUGAACUUCAGCUCCCGCCUUGAGUCCUGACAGGCUGAUUGCUUUUUGGACUAAACAGCUUGAGGCUGAUUGCGGCUCAUAUUUGAGGACGACCACAGGGACGUGGCCCAGGUAUCUCAUUGCUGAAACAGGAGAGUGAAGCUGUCAAGGUGUGACACAUGAGCUAAUGACCUUUGACCUUGGCUGUGCAUUAGAGUGAGGGGGCUGCGGAGAGGUAGAGCCCCAUUCAAGGAGCUUUGAAUGCAUUUGGCCUCCUCCUGACUUGGAAAUGAAGAAAUACGACUCCGCCGCAAAUCCGCCCGCUCCAUCUUGAUCAAAUAUUUUAUUUCCCCACCCAUGUUUAUAAUGUGUGCCUUCUUUCUUCAUAUAAUCCCGCAGGCCAGUCAAGAUUUGCGGCAUUAAGUAGACAAUUGUUUGUGGAAUACUUUCACAUAAUCCCAUGACCCACUUUUGGUCUUUGCAGAACACCAUCAUUGAAUUCCUUUAUAUGGCUUCAUCACAGGCAGAAUAAAUUUCCAUGUUUUAAUGUAAAUGUGAACUCCUGAGAGCUUUUUCUAAAGAGAUGAUUCCCAUACAGCCACUCAGCACAGCGAUGACUCGCCUGGUGGGUGAGAAAAAGCACGAAGCCGGCCUGACCCUGUUUAUUUUAACUGAUGAAAAUGCAGGUGUCUUUUAGAUGCCAGGGAUUGCUGGUAGAGUUCAUUUCAGGCCUCCUGUAGCAUUGAUAAAUAAAUUCAGCGAUGAUAUUGUUGGCGUUGUUUAACACAGCGGUGUUUGGAUUGGGUUACAAGAAGAUGUUCCCGUGAGAACUGCUCGAUGGCGAUGCGACAUGUUGGCACGAGUUAUGUUUAGACUCAAAACAUAGAUCCAGUUUCAAAAUAUUCAGAGAAACCAGAACGAAGAAGGGCAAAUCUUUUUUUCUUCAUAUUUCACUUUAAGUCGAGAGAUAAAGUGUCCUUGUUUGGCGUGGCUUUUUGAGUUUACACUCAGUUAAUGAGUUUAUUUCCAUCUCAAGAGUGGACAACCUGAACUCUCUUCAAAUAAAAGGAUGGUGGGAUUCUUGGGAACAGGAUGGAAAAUGAAAGAGUUUGAAGUUUUUGCCAUCUCCCUCUUGAGACACGGGAAACAACAUCAAACUCCUGUGUCAUGUAAACCUCUUCCAGCUGAAGUCUCUUUUUGUGUUUAGAGCAGGAAAUGAAAGUAUGUUUGUUUCUGUCAGUUUGAUUAAAUGGUGACGUAUGAGAAACCAAAGCAGAGUUGGUAAAACACCUGUCCACAGCUUUUAUUUGCGGAUAAACCAAGCGGUUUUGGAUUAGGCUCAAACCAAACCAAACUAAACUAGCAGGGUAUAAUGUAAACUUGGAGAACUCAAACUGUUUCUAAAAAGCUCAGAAAGGUUUUUCAAGGAUACCUGCCUUCUCCUCUGUAUUAGGAGUCAGAAUAUAAGAUUUUCAACCCAGGAUCAAGAUUAAGGAACUUUUUAUUCACGUCACCGCCCAUGUGAGAGGAACUUUUUUCAACUGCUUGUGAUUCUGCAUUUCACCUAUCCUUUAUCAUUUAAAAGGGGAAACGUAACAAUGGCUGUUUUUUUAGCAUACAGCAUUUGUUAAAUAUUACAAUAUAGGAAGAGUCAAUCCUGUCCUUGAUGGUCGCAUUUGAGAUGCAUCAUUGUUUCUAAAAUUUAAAGAGACAUUAGCAUCUGGCUGCUAAAUGUUAAUCAAAACUACGACUUCAUGACGACUUUACAAAGAUAGUGUUGAGGUUUGAACAACUUUUAAGUCUCAUUUUGAUACAUGUAGCUCAAACGAGUUUAAAUGUCUGUGAAAGCUCAUUAGCAAUACGCCUCUGAGUCGUGGGCGGAGACAGCACUGCUCUGCACACUCUUCUUCAUGUUAGCUUGUAGCCUAACAUUGCCGGUGUAGUAGAAGUAGCAGGGAACAUUGUAGCUAUUCAGCUCUUGGACACUAAUGUCUUUGGGGACACGAUGGAAGCUAAUAUCAUGAUUAGCUUUCUUACGAGCAUUGCAAUCCGCUAACGCACACGUUUGUUCCGCUCUCUAUUGCUCUGAGCCUGGCUUGCAUAGUAGGGCUCCGGGGGGCGGAGCUUGGAUUUGUGAUGUAGGAAAUCUCACUCUGCCUGAGCCUGCCGUUUGGGUCUGCCAGAGAUUCACAGCAAUUUAUAUGCAGAAAUACCCAGAAAUGCAAUUUUGCACUGAGUUUUCUAAUGGUAUGUCCUGUAGCUUCACAAAUAAAUGCUAUAUGAACAUGUAAACAAAAGGAAAACGUGAUUUUCAUCGGAGUGGGUCUUUAAGGGUUCAAAUAGCCAAAAACAAAAAUAAAAAUCUGGUCCACUAGACUAAAUUCUUAUUAAAUGCAGAUAAGGAGAGUGAAAAGAACUGAUUAUUUUGGGGAAAAAAAGCUCUCUUAGUGGAUCAUAUUUUACCUCUUUCAAGCUUCUAUGCAACUGUGUGUACUAUCUAAGUGAGCUUUAAUACACAAACGGCUACAGUGCUAGAUUUCAUCUCAAAACUGCAUUAUAUUUAGCCAACUACAGCACCUGCGUUUCAUUUACACCCCCGCCAAGAUCUACAACAGGUAAAUGGACACCAUGUGUUUGAUUGUAAUGCACACUUCCUGGUGAUACCAGUUAUGCUCCUUGAUCCACCGACGGGGACCAUCCGUCACGUCGGAGCAGAAAAGUGAAAGCAGAUAAGUGUCGAAAGGGUCUGACUGGAAACAGACUCGGCCGGGCCCAUAUGGCCUCGUAAAGACUACGGCCCUUCACUGUAAACACUUCCCAAUUUUAGAACGCUUAAGAGCUGACAGUAAGCAGACGGCGGCCUCUGUGCCGCAGAGCUGCGCAGAGCAGAAAAGAUCCCACUAUGCUGCAAAGGAAUCCCACUUCUAUUAACUUCUACAUCUAUUCCUUUCACUCUUUAACAGACACGGCGGCCUCCCUUGUGUUGCGAUGUUUCACCUCUGUGUCAUCUGUGCGUAACACUUUCGCCUGAUAAGAAUAUAUGAGGAGGAUCCCCUGAGUGGUGGUAGUUGAAAGCAAAAGGUGUCAGCUUUGGAGAGUCUUCCUUUAAAAAUACUCCACAUAAAAGCUUUUUUACUCCCAAUUCUACUUGAAGAUAAAGUCACAAACAAACAGCAUCUCCCACUCCUGCACAACUCCUAUUGUUUCUGCAAAAACACAUUUCACACAUGCUUUCACCCCCUUACUGCCCAUUAGACGGCGCAUUAGAGAAGCUCCAACUCCCACAAACAAGCCAGAGUGAAAAAUGAGAUUUUGACAGAAAUUGGUGGCUGUUUGCACCGUCGGGGAGCUUCUACACUUUCUCGAAGCACUUUCAUACAGCUGGAGCAUUAGACGUAAUUUUGUCCCUCUGUCCAGUCAUAGCAGGGGUGGUGUUUAAGUUGUGUUACCUCUGACUUUUUCGCAGAUGCCAGGCUGAGCUACUUGAUUUCUAAAAGCCGCGUUGAAUGGGAUUUGCAGCUCUUAACUCAAUCAGUCUGACCUCUCAUGUUUAAGUGAAAAAGUUCAACCUGGAAAUAUUUUGUCAGGACAAGGUCUGAAAAAGUAGCACUUUGGUCUGAAGGAUAUCUUUAAUAAUUUUCUUUUUUUACAGUCUUAGCUGGAUUUGAUUCUUGCAGACCAUUAAACCUCAAACAUUUAAAAAUCAUUUCACAAAUAUCUCAUAUUUUUCAAAGCUUGCAUCCUUCCUCGGAUGAUAUUAAACGACUAACUGGUACAGGCGCUUCACACACCGGUUUUGACGUACAAUUUUUUUUUUUUUAAUUGAAUCAUAAAUUAUAGAAUAUUUGCCUUAGAUUGAGCAUGAAUAACAUCAAAAGAGAAAAAAAUAACACAAUUUCAAGGUUAGAGGCCAUUCUAUAUCAAUUCAAACAUUUCUAGUAAAGAAAAUAGGCGUAGGGCUCUAUUGUCUGUAACAAGUUUUAAGGAUUUACAAAAAAGUAGCAGCUCAUUCUUCCAGUGAGGUAGGCAUGGUCUUGUUUUAAAAUAUCGACACUUGUGAAUGAAGAACUUCCCCAAAAGCAGCAAAGCAUUUAGAGCAAAAUCCAAGUUCCUAUCCUCGUUAAAAACACCAAACAAAAUAGUUUCUGCUGGCAAGGGGAAUCAAUGUUUUUGGACUGCAACCAGGGGCCUGUUCGACGAAGCAGGAUUACUGCUUAGCGAGGUAACUUCGAGGGUAAAUUCGGAGUUUCCUGUUCUACGACGCGGGUUCACUUCCUUGCGAGGCGAGUGUCCAUGGCAAUGUACGCUGAAUGGCUAACCUGCUCCGGGGCAGGUUAGGUUCCAGAUUGAACUCAUCGGGUAUAAAAUGGCAUCAAAGAUUUUUUGCGCACUAUACUUCCGCAUUAAGACUGUCAGCAAUUUUCUGCCAGCAUUCCUUCUGAGCUUUUGCAGCGGCGACGGUGUUGCUUUUAAGGUUUAUGAUAGAUUUGAAUUCUUCAUACUUUCUCAUGAUCGUCUCCUGCUCCUCGUUUGUAAAGUACGCUGUCCUUCGCUCUCCGGCCUGCUCUGAUGCUCCAGACUGGUCCAUGUUCGCAAUUGGUCAGAUGUGGCGGUCUCCGCCUUACAAGCGUGCACGCGCUCAUAGCAAAGCUGGAUCCACUUACGAGGUUGAUAACCAGCGUCGUAAGACUGUUUAGCGAGACCGCUGGGUAACGCGCUAAGUUGAGCGAGGUAGCUCCAAGGCUACCUCGCUCGGUUGAACUUGCUUCGUAGAACAGGCCCCAGCUCUACAUGUUACUCCAGAAGGGAUGUACCGCACUACAGUGAAAAAAAAAAAACAUGACACAGGUUUUCAACGUCCACAUCACAAAACACACAAUUAUUUCCUUCAAAGUUAAACCUUAAUCUUAAAAAUUCGUUUGUUGGAUAGAUUUCGUUCAGGAUUUUGAAAUGGACUUCUUUUGCCUUGGGAGGUAAUGGCAAGGAGAUAUAAUUCUUUCUUAUCUUUUUAAUUUUAUCCAGAUCAAAUUGCUUCAAAAUACACAUCCUUUUAGUUGGGCUAGGGUAAUAUUCGUUUACCAACAUAUUGCUGAGAGCUUUGUUGUUACAUUUGCGAUCACAAAAGUCUAACCUCCCAAUGUAGAGUUGUCUCAAUCUUUGGGAGACUGUGGAAUAUCAAACAUCUUCUCUCACCAUCGCCCUCAGAGAGAUUGGUAUUGCAUUCAUCAUUUUUGUAUAUUCCCAUUGUCAUCUAACAAGUGAGCAACAGCCCAGACUCCUUUUGAAUUCCAUUCAUCCUUAUAAACUGAAUUUCUGUUAAUCAAUAUGUAUCUAUUAUUCCAGAUUGGUGUAUUGUGUGGAGUAAAAUUAUGACAGUAAAGUAAUUUCCAGUAGAGCAGGGCUUGUUGAUGAAAAUCAGAGAGUUUAACCGGGAACAAUUUGCAUUCAAAAUCACAUUGUAGUAAAAAAUCUAUUCCACCCAGUUUUUUUGAAAACCAAAUUAGGAACAGUGAACCGAAAUGACUCCCUAUUUGAAAAGAUUUCAGCCAUUUUAGUUUUAAGACGCAAUUCAUAACAACAAAAUCAAUCACAUUUAUACCCCCGUCUUCAUACAUUUUAACCACGUCAUUAUUUCUUAUAUAUUAACACCUGUUCCUCCAUACGAAUCUAAAAUUUAUAGUAUUUAUCAUGUUUCGACUUACAAGUCUUCUUCAGUGUGUGACGGUACAACAGGAAGUGACACGUUUCACACAUUAUACAAUAUAAACAUCACUGACAUAAAAAAAUAUAUAAAACAGUGAUAUCAAAUAUACAUCAUAAAAAAAUAUACAAAGAAGUGAAGGUAGUUUACAUAAAUUUUUUAACAAAACCCAAAGAUCAAAAUCGGUGCCAUCAACUAUUUAUUUUUACAAGUGUUGCUGGCUUUUUAAUUAAUUUAUUUUUUAUUCUAUUUUAUUUUAUUUAUUUAUUGUUUCCAUGUACCUCUUAUUUUUCUACAGAUAUUUUGAGUCUGCAUGUUUUAUUAUUUUUUUUAAUUUUUGAAAUUUUUUUGGUCCAUUUUUUUCUUUGUCUCCCAUCUCAAGCCUUUUCCUCCUUAUUUUCCUUAACCUAGCUUCAAUCAUGCUAGAUCCGGCCUGGGAAUUCUCUCAUGUUAGGUAAAACCGUAAUCUGGUUGGGAGGCCGAUUCCCAAUGACGCAACUCAACGAGCUUUAAAGCUAAAGUCAUGGGACUGGCUCAAAAAUAUCAGUGGUAGAUGAUGUACAGAUAUUAGUGUUGAAAUAUUCAUGGAAGUUUAAUACUGAGGGUUUUCAUCUGUUGCAUCUGCCUUGCAUCAUUAGCAGCGUUGAGCACGAACUUCCUUUCAUCGCCCUCAAAAGUGUUGUUUUAGAGUUAGCCCCACCUACACCAACGAUAAUGUGUUGACUAAUUUUUUGUGUCUGGUUUCAAAAUAAGACCUUUUUGUUGUGCUUCAAAGGGGUCUUGUUACUCCAGGUUUCAACUUAGUGACUGUAAAUAUGCUUGGUGUUUUGGAAACACAUUGAACAUUACAUGCUGAUGAAAACUUGAGUUUUGAUCCAAGUGUGUGGUCCCAGCUGAUCUAAUUUUUGACAUUUUGCAUCAAGAAACUCAUGUUUCGUGUUUGAUCCUCUAUAAAAUGUACAUAUAAGGCUUUUGUACCUCGUGCAUCAUUAACUCUAACUUUGAUGUCUCGCCAUGAAACAGAAAGUUGAUGUCACUCUGUCAUACAAUGUUCAAUCUUCUUGAAAUUUCAUAAUCUUGGUUGAGGGCGGACCCUGAACACAUCAGUAUACAAGUAUUUCAUUUUCACUCAUGUUUGAAGUGCCACCUGGUGCAGCGUCUAAGGCUACAUUCAUACUGCAGGUUAUGAUGCACAAUUCGGAUUUUUUGUUAAAUCCAAUCUUUUUUCGCCUGUUUGUUUUGUCGAACAACAGUGACAUUUGUUGCAUAUUGAUGACGAAUAGAUCGGAUGAACACGCCUGAGCGUCCACACUGCAGUCACAUCAGAUACAUAUCCGAUUUAUAUCCACAUACAAAAGAGGCCUGGGUCAGAUUUGAAAAAAUCAGAAUUGCACUGUUCACACUUACAUGAAAACAUCAGAUAAGUGUCACAUAUGGUUAAAAAGUCGGAAUUGACCCGCAGUGUGAACAUAGCCUAAGCUUAUAAGCUUAGCCAAGUUUCAGUACAAUGUAAAACAUUAUACAUUUGUUGUAUUUUCUAUCUAGCUGUACUCCUCUAAAUGUGAAAUUAUCUAUAUUCAGAUUGUAAAACUUCUGAGUAAAUCUUCCCUCUGAAUGACCCACAAUUAGUCUGUGAGUCAAGUCCAAUAAGACCCCCAAAUAUUUUGCAAUAGCUGCCCUUGUAAACUCGAGUCGCAUCUUCAAAAACACUUCUAAGACGUACUUUGAUCUUAUUUCAUGUCUUUAUUAGUCAUGACGACAGGCAUCAGAAAUGCUCUCAAAUGUAUAGCUCAGUUUCACCAGACAAAUGAGCGAAACACAACCCUCAUGACAUCAGUGUCCGUUUCGGCGUCGCCAGAUUUUGUUUUGUGGAUGAUUCAGAGGCAUGAAUCCUCCCUGGUUUGGUAUUUCCUGUGAACACUGUGCUCCCAUUCAUAACCCAAUCACUUUGAUAGCAGCCCUCCUCUGUAGUCUCCAUGACCUCACUCGAGAGUUUCCCCCCAAAUCACUCCCAGAUCAAAGACUGCGAUGCUUGAUCCUCUGAUAAUAGUGCAAAGCCUCCAGAAUCUCAGAUCAGACUUAGACUUUGUGCCCUACUUGUUUCAUCCCCCCACCCUCCUUCCUUUUUUUUUUUUUUCAUUUCACUGCUCAGCGAAUUGCCAUCCUAAGUAAAAAGAAAAAAAAAAAGCAUUUUGAUUCCGUACAAGAGACAUGCCGAAAAAGUCAAAAGAGGGUGAGCACUUAGCGGAGUAAUGAUGCCAUUUAGCAUCGCCACUCUCCCAGUUUGUGUGACCUAGAUAGGGAACGACAUGAGCAGACUGUGGCGACUGGAGCCGCUUCCAUUUGCAGAAACGCUGAUACAUUUCUGCUCAGAUAUCCUGUCAAACACAGUAUGCAAAUUCAUUAUUUAUUUUUUUUUUACUCCUUAUAAGAAAACACCUGACGGUCUGUGUUGUAUUUAAGGAUGCGCUUUGGUGGCUCGGAAAAAGUUUCAGGAGCAGGGAAAGUUCUUGUCGUGGCACGUUUAUCUUGCAGUCGUCAUCUUUCCCCCUUUGUUUGUCACUCCUGUACAUAUAUUUGAGAAUCAGAUUAUAGCUGUUUGUUUAUUAUUAGAUGCUAAUCCUCCAACUAGACACACUGUCUGAUUGCGGCGUAAAGAUGCUCCGACAAGGACAAAUUCUCCAAGUGGCCGUCCUCAUCUUGUCGUUACAUAUUCAUGACCUGGUAUUUUGGUCUUCAUCAGCAUGAAGACAUAUUGAGAUGAUGACAAAUUGGCUUGAAUCCAUAAGCACACACACACGCACACAGACAGACAAACACACACACUCCUGGGAGUCCGCGAAAGAGGGGGGCGAUCCAAGGGCAUCUUCUCGUCCCAGACGCUCAGUAUAGUCCCACAAAUCUGCCUCUCUCUGCACUUUCUGCAUAAUUCCCCCCACUGCUACGCCUCCGAAUGACCUGCGUGAUCGCCAUGAAUAUCAAUGUCACGCGUGUCGGGCUGCGUCAAUUAGGCUCGGUUUGAUGCAUGUCGCCGGGGUGGUCGUUUAACAGCUCUACCAGCCUGAGGAAGCGGGGGGAGAAAGAUGCACAAGUUGGAUACUGCUGGCGGAUGCAUUUAUGUCACCUUAAAAAGCAAUGCAUUAGCCUCUUUGAGGAAUGUUGGAGGAUUAGAGGCUCCUUAGACCGCCGGAGAGCUCUGCUCUGAUCUAAAGCGACUCUGUCACUGUCAUUUUCUGCAAAUUUAAUCAUUAUUUUGACCUCCUGUGCAAUCAUAACAGCACCGAUUGGUUACUUUGUGUUAUCUUUGUGACUUUCACAAAUGAGCCAAAGUGAAAAAUUUGAUUUCGACAGCCAAGUUGGAAACCAUUUGCAGCCAAAGGGAUGUUGCUGAGCCUCCCCAGAACUGCUUUGCAUUUUCUCUUCUUGCAUUCUAAUGAUUAAUACCGUUGAAGCUGCAAAAACAUGAUAAAAUUAAUCAAAAUCUUUGAGGUGGAAUGUUCCCAUUAAAAAAAUACAUCAUGCUGGAAUUCAAAGAGAGAUAUAAAAGUUCAAGUAUGUGGAGUGAAUGAAAAAAGCAAGUUUAAAUGAGUCAACAUUUGAAAGGAAUCUGUCCCCACAUCUUUUAUUUUAUUUACCAGACAAGGUUAAAGAGAGGCCAACACUGAGUUUAGAUUUGAGUAACAUUCAUGCGCCAAAAAAGGGAACAAACAGAAUGAGAGCACCAUGAGUUCAACUCAAAAUGUCAAUUUUUUAAUUCAUUUUAAAGCAGAAAAGUACAUUUACGUCAUAGAGUCCCAUUUUUAAAAGUUUGGUAGCUGUAGAAAAGCUGAUAAAAACAGUUUUUGAUCAUCUGCAAAUCAUUACAACUCUAAAAUCUUUAAAAAUUGAUGAUACAUUAAAUGUUAAAGUUAUAAAUAUUUGUGCUCAUGUGCUAAAAAAAAAGGCAUGCCUCUGUAGUGGGAACCACCACAUAGUUUUGUCAUUAUCUGUUCUGUAAAUUUAGUUUUGCCUGGUUUUAUUAUCUAAAUGUAUUUUCUUUGUGUUUUCCCUGUUUCCAUCCUUUUUUUAAAGUGUAUUAUUCUUUAAAUCAGUUUUCAGUAUUUCCUGUCUUAUUUUGUAGUAGUUGAUUCCUUGUGUUUCUAGUCUGGUUUAACUUCACUAGUUUUCCCUCCUUCGUUAAUCACCCAUGAGUUUCACCUGUGUCUCGUUAGCCUCACCUGUGUCUCGUUUGCCUCACCUGUUGCUCGUUAACCAGUGUGUAUAUAGUCCCUGUCUUCCCCUCUGUCCUCAUUGGUUCAUUGUUUGUUGGUGUGUGCAUAUGCCUGUGUCACCAGUGGCCCCCUGUGAUUUUGCCUUUUGGAUUUUUCUCUUUUUGUUGUUUUUUUAUUUCAUUCUUUUUAAAUAAAUCCUGUUUUUGUUCUGCAUUUUGGGUCCUUUACCUUUUUGUUUAACUCUGGACCGUGACACACAUUAUUAUUAUUGUGAAUUCCUCAGAGUAAUACAGCCAACCAGUUUGUUCUGAAUCCACAGCUCAAAAACAAGACUCUGUAGUGGAAAUCACCACAUGGUCUCAGAAUCGCAUCCAAAAAUCACUGCCUGUGACCAUAUUUCCUGACAUAUUCAGUCAAGAGGAAAUGAUUGGCAACUGUCAAAAUCUGAACUCUAGCUUUAAGGUCCUUACACACCGGAACCGACACAAAUAUACAACGCGAAAUCACGAAAUAUUCAGAGGCAAAUUUUGAAGCGCCUGACUAUACACAUCAAGCCCGAUCCGAUUGUGCGACUUUCCGGGGGGAAAAGACUUGCCCGGGUGGAAGUGAGAAGACUGAGUGUUUUUUUCAGCUCUGAUUAGACUCUAGUGUUGAGAUCACUGUCUGUCAUGAUAGCAUGUACUGAGUCGGGGCCAGUACCAGAUAAGCACAUUAAACUAUAAUCCAUAAACGUAAGGUAACAACAGAGACCUAAUGGUGCUGUGACAGCAACACGAUUGAGUUUGAGACAGUGAAAAUACAUAUGGUAUGUUGUAUCUGAACAGGUUAGCUUACGAGCUAAAGUUACUUAGCGCAGAUGAAAGUUAAAACAAAGACGUUUAGCAAACUGUUAAAGCACACAAACCAUCGUCAUAUGAGAAAUCCGAUGCUAUGACUCUCCACAAGUUGUCCUUCAGGUCCUUAUCUUUGUAAUAUUUGUGUGUUUUAUCAAAAAGCACGUAACAUGUACACAAUCAGUCGGUCGGCCAUGUUGGAUAUACCAGUGAAUCUGACGUUGCAACAACACGAAAUCUGAUUGGUCAGAAGUGGACACACAGUAUGCCAAACUUCAGUAAAAUCGACCAUGAUCCGAAAAAAUACAUGCCGCAAUAUUGCAGGACGGGAAAAAAUCGCUGAUGUGAACGCCUGUAUUGACAGGAUACAGAUUCGAAAAAAAAUAUUGACGUCCGAAAUUAUCGCACGAAAAAAACGCUCCCUGUGUAUAAGGACCUUUACACUAUCUGACAUCUUAUGGAUAUUUGAAAUACUAUUUUUUUUCUGUAAUACGUAUUAAUGAGUUUUGACUGGUCUGAUACUUUUACAUGAAGCGGUUUCAUUAAGUAUUUUCCACAUAUGUCCCAAAUUAGCAUUUUAAUUAGUUUAUAACAGACAUUUUGACAUGUUAAAAUGUCAUUUCACCAAUUAAGAUAAAUAGCUAAAGUUGCUGCUACUUCUAAAACAUCAUUCCAUGCUACAUUUCAUGACAGCUUGGUGGUGGAAGAAAAGAAAAAAAACCCUCUGAGAUCUCGACAUUGAUGAAAGUCUUCAAGGGUUUUCCGCUCCUCGAGGCAAAGAGCCCCCCCGCCCCCGAGAGUUCAGGGAAAAGAAGCCCAUUACCGAUUCAGCACACUUUAACUACACGCAAAAGGGAAUCAAAUUAAAUGUCCUUUUAUUACUGUGAUUAUGUGGGACGAUGUCACUGUGGACUCCUGCUGUCACUCUGUGUCAGCUUCCCUAAUCUGACACAGACCACUGCUGGUACUCUGCCAGGACAAGUGCCCUUCAAAUUAAAAGACCUCUCUGCCAGAUUUCAACAUGCAGAACCGUCAGGCUCAGCUGCUGCAGCUCCUGACCUCUCUAACUGGCUGCUCUCCACCACACAUUACAGUUGUAUAAUGAGGACAAGUUAUAAGAAAAAAGAAAAACACUGACUGGAGUUUUAAAGGUUAGUCAUCUCCAUCAGGAUGAGCUUGAACAACUGUGAUGUUAUUCUUGUCUUUCAAAACUGAAGUGUAAUUGCUCGGUAAUUGCUUCAGCGGUUCUUGAUUUAUUGAUCGUUUUUGUGGGUGAAGAGAACAAGAAUCAAUGUAACAACCCUCAAACCAUCCACGUCUGACGUUUCAGGCAAACACGCAAUAAGUUGACGCAAAUGCGAGGCCGACAAACAAGAAAAGACUGAAAUAUCUACAGCCAGAGGGAACUAUUUUGCGGUGUAAUUCUCUAGUGACUCGAAAUGAUCCCUUCAGCUAUUUCAGUCUGUUCUAUCUUGACUGUGAGUAUCAGCCCAGGAGUUCACAUGACACACCACUCGUCCUAUUUGCUUUUUACCUUUUAAAGAAAGUCCCAAUAUCAAAGGAAAAAAGCCAGAUAUUAUCUUCUCAGCUCUUUUUCAAAGUGACAAUUUGAAGCCAGGGCAGAGGAGGUAGUUGCGUGUGCAGUUCUGCUGAGCCACAAAAAUAAGUACAUGGACAAUGUUGCCUGGAGUCAUUUUGGACCUGCGCCUUUCGGAUUUCUUUUUUUUCUCCUUCUGAUCUUGUGCUCAUGCCACUUUGUACAACAUCAGACUCAAAGAGGGAACUUUAUGUCCGUGCUAAACCUGACUCUGUCUUAACCAGGACGUAUUGUUGCUGUUUAACCAGGAGUAGCAGCAUCUUACCUCAGAGACUUGUCAUUACAAGCCAAAAAUAAAGACCUAAUUGACCGUAAUGGGUACACAUGGCUUCACUUGCAGCUAGCAAAAAUGUCUUGAUAUGUUUCUGGAGGCAAGAUGAAGAACUUGUCAAGCAAAAUUUGGCAUGAAAUUCUUUGAGAAAAGAUUCUUUCCACCACAUUUCAAAGUUUGUUUGCUGGAAAAUGUGGACUAAACAGAUUUUAAUGGUUUCUCAAAUGGUUUAAACCAAAUAUUUGUUUGGAAAUUAUGUUGAAUGACACUCAUACCAAAUGGCUGUGAUUUUCCACCCCUUAGAUGGCACUACAUCCAAAAUAAAGUCAUGACUCUGUAGUGGAAAUCACAGCAUGGACUCAGAUUAUUUCCCAUAAACAAUUAACUGUGAGCACAUUUGUUGACUUUACUUUUGGAAAUUUAGGGAAAACCACAACCACCAAGCCCACAGCUCAAAAUACACACAACUUUGUAGUGGCAGUCACGGCAUGGGCCCAUCAAAGUUGAGCUGUACCGAAGAGCUGAGGACAAACAGCAGUUGCAAAAGGAAGAUAAGGCUGCAACUCUGUCAGAAACACUUGAGAAAACCGAAUUAUCGCCUUACUCCGAUUAAGACCGAACAACUGAAGUGCAUGUAAACACCUUAAUCCGACUAAAAUCAGAGUUUGAGAACUUCGAUUGGAGUCGGAGAACUCCAAAUAAGACACCCAAAGAUUUUCUCUACCAUGUAACCAGCGUAGUUCUAGUAUGAGAGGACUAUGCAUGUGCGCCAUGUCCCCGUAACCCUGGAACAAAAACACCAGAGAAGAGGAGUAGCGUGCACCUCAUCUGCAGAAAAAGUAGCGCGUACAUCAUAUACGACAAAAACAACACAGUACAAUGCUCCAUCUUCUUGCUUGAAAAUGCCCACCAGCAGUUGUGGCUACUUCUGACGUCUGGCAUGGACCUGCUGUUGUUGUUGGGUCAACUGGAAACAGCGCCACUGAAAAGACCCAUAUCGCCCCCUAGUAUAGGGGAGGAGGACAUGUUCACAUCAAUAAUUUGAUUUUCUCAGCUGCAUGUUUACGCAGACAAGGAGAGAAGUCCGAUUCAGUUGAAAACAAAAAGAAUUAUGAGCUUAGUCCGAUUAAGCUGUGCAUGUAAACACACAGACUGUGAGUUUCCCUUAUCUGAGUUGAACUCUAAAGUUCCCAGUCCCUGGGGAAAGUUCCUGCAGUGGAAACGCACCCUCAGCUUCCCUUUCCCAUUCUGUUUUCAUUUUAUCAAACAACACAAUGAAGCUAAUGUGUCCUGAUGCAGCCUCCAGAAUAGACACAGUUAUUUUUGAAGCAGGACAGAACUGCCUACUUUUACUUUAACUGCAACACUUUGAAGUCCAGAGCCCAGAAAUGCUACGCACUGGUAACUAUUAUUCCUCUGCAAACUUUCUUCAGCUUAAGCCUUUCUGGCUGGCACACCUUGAUCAUACAUUUCUCCAGCACCUGAAAGAGAGAGCUAUCAAUAAUUGAUUGAGCAGAACGAAGCGUGUGCGCUCUUCAAGGGGGCGGCUGGCGUCUGUGUGCGGUUGUUGUUUUUAUUGGGAAUCUGAAGGUAAAAAAUGUAAGAAAACACUGUUUCCAACACUUUUUGUUUCUCUCUCGUCCUUUGAAGAAAAAAAAAAAGAUAAUUUGAAUGGAAUCGACAAGUCCAGGCACAGCAGUUUAUCUCCUUUUUCUAAAAAAAAAAAAAAAAAACUCAGUUGCAAAAACUGAAAAGAAUUUACAACAGUCUCUAGUAACUCUAAGAAAAUUUGCUUUUUAGAAACAGAACUUCUGUGUACAAACCCAAGAGAGUUUGGAGGAUGAGGAAAGUGGUCAUGGUGCCGUCAUAGAUGUGCAAACUACCCACGUCAUGGACACUUCUCCACCCCUUUACCACCAUGGAUAAGGGCCGAUGUAGAAGUGCUACAAACUGCAGCUCCUAGGGUGCCCACUUGAGGGUGGCUGCAGGAUUCAGGUUGACCGCCAAAACCAAUAUGGCCACCACUGCCAUCAGGCUUCAAAACGUAAAUGUGUUUACCAAUGCUACGUCCAUUUAUAAUAGAGUAUAGACCUACAACUUGGUAGAGGGAAUCCCUCAGGAGGAGCUGCCUCACCCGCAAAUUCCACUGCAUCCGGAACGGCUAUUGCAGCUGACCAUAACCAUUCAAGUCCAUGUGCCAAUUUCCAAUGGCUUCUUUCCAUUUUGUUGCGGGUCGCCAACUCCGCAGCUGAUCGCAAGAGUUCUAUUUUUUCAGGAUGCCGGGACAUUCCGGGUAAAUUCAGCACAAAUUAGUCCGUGCUGGAAAGGAAGUCAGGCACAGAAACAAAAUGAAACAUCCGGCUUCUUUUCAAAAUAAAACACUCCGUGUUUCACACCAUGCAAAUGGGCGCUGACAAACAAGUUAAAGGUUUAUAGACAGCAUUUCACCCCUAUGACAGAAUGGAUGAGGAGAUGCUGAUUCUUAAAGUCUAGAAGUAGAAUUCCUCCUCUGGAAGGACAUAAUCUAUACGGUUAUGUGGCUGUCUUUACAUAGACAACUUGUUAUCGCACAAUUGCAUGUACAUCCUCAGGUUCUUGUGAGUUCUCACGAUUCCCGCUGUCCGAAAUUCGCCUCACACACAGAUCUGGUGGAAAUCAAUGGAUGGCUAAAAUCUCAGCCGUUCCAGAUCCGAGCCAUUCCAGACAUGGUGGAAAUUUGGGUCUGCCUAUGUGGCCCAAUCCUUGAUCUUCUCAGUCCAGUUUAAUGGGUUCAGGCCCAGAGCCGUCACCAACAUCUGUAGAUCAGUUUUUUGGAAUAUCGUGCGUCUAAAACCUGCACUUUUAGACGCAGCGCCAAAGUGUGUUCACAGAUGAUCAUGUUUAGGCACGAUUUUGAGCCAAUGCAGUGACAUCCACUUCAGAGUCAUGCCUGUUUUUCCAUCUGAUUGCCAUUAUGUCCAGAGAUUUCUCCUCACUGUUUUUUUUAAUCCAUAUUAUGUUCUAUAGAUGAUAAAAUCUCUAAUUCACUAACCUUUAUAUUCAGUUUAAAACAGCAGCACAGAGCUGUGAGUGUAUUAUAUAACAGAACAAGUAUACAUACAGACAAGGUUGACCUUGCUAAAUGGCAGGUCAAGGUAUAUGGUAUUUGAGCACUGACAUGGAGACGUAUGGAAGUGAAAAGCAUCCAAAGAGGUCAUAAAUGGAUCCAUUUGCAAUGACCGCUCAUGGGAUUCUUGUGUUUUAUCUAAUGCAAUGCCAUGUUCAGAGUUGGACUUGCUUCUCCUGUGGGAACCGCACAUGUAUUCUACAUGAUUCAUGUGCAUUAAGUGGGCCCCAAGUCAUAGAACACACGCGCUCCGUAACGGGCGUAUUGGAAAUGAGACAUGGCACAUGCUGCAGCCUCUGAGCAAGAGGCAAGGGACUACUUCAAACACAAAUGAUAGAAGAGGUGAGUAAACACUAGGAAGGUGGUUUUAAAGUGAAAUAAAAGAGGUGAAAAUGGGUUGCCUGUGCUAUUAUUAGACGUGGUUUUGCCUCCAAAGGGCUUGGAGACAAUGUCCCUGCUCAUUACUGUAAAAACAACACAGCGGGGGGACAUGCUCGCAGUGACAGCACAAUCCCUGUCACAUUCCUGAUCCUGUUUUAUUAACUCAGCGCUGUAAGAAGCUUCGCCUCUUUGCAGACGACUUAGUUGUGCCACCGAUGAAAUGAAGCGUACUUGAAGAGAUCACUUUGUGCAGCUGGAGGCAGAUCCAGAGGGAAAUGGUUCAGAGGAAUGAUGAUGGGGGGAAAAAAAAGGUCCUGUGUGUUAAAUAUAUUCAUAAUGACGAUGAGACGUGGAAUGGGGAAAUGCUUUUGAGGGUUGCACCAAGACUGGAUUAAGGUUGCUGUCUCUGGGCGUUUGCAGCACCUCAUGAGACGAUCUGUGAGACAUAUUUACAAUCUUUGAGGCAGAUCCUUGAAGUAAAAAAAAAGGUUUGAUCAUAAUCAAAGAAUCAGUGUUUUUCAAAAAGGAGCAAGUCAUUAGUGUCAAAGUGACACAUGCUUAAUUAGAGCCCAAUCCCAGCAGCUCUGUCAAUUAAUGCAGACUGAGAGGUUGGAUAUAAUAAGAUGGGAUUAGAUGAAACUCAUUGUCCUCUGAGGACUUUCCCAUGGCUCAAUUAACUCGGCAAAUAACCUGAAUUAAUCACGAGCGUAUUGCAAUAUUAAUUUUCGGCUCAGAAACGGAUACAGCUUGCAUUAUUCAGCAAUAAUAAAAGAAAGCCUUCUUACAUCCGUGUGUGUGUGUUUGUUUACAAGGUGAAAAUGUGAUCCGCUUACAAAAAAAAAAGGAGCAUUUAUUGGCUGUAACCUUGCGGGAGGUUUUGGCUGCCGUCUGCACUCCAUCCCUCUCCUGUUUUCUGGCAGCGGAGAACUCUUUUAACCUUUUCUGUCUGGAACUCAAAUGAGAAAUUUAGUCGCUCACCCUAGGAACCAAGCUCAUUAAAGCAUAUCGGGGCUUCAGCUCAUACUUGCAGUAUCCGGGGCAUGAAUAUGCAUUAUUCAAACACAGGACAUUAUCUAUCUAGUUGUGCUUCUCAGUAAUGUUAGUUUUUUUUUACCCCGGAGGAAUAAAUAUGUAAAAUAUUUCUACAACACCAAUACGUCAACUUCAUGAUCUUGAAAACAUAAUUGCUAAUUCAGUUAGGAGGUUCUAAGUCCCGGCUUGCUUUUUUCUUUUCCUUUCUAAAGACGCUGCAUGCUUGAGAGGCAAAUAUUCAAAAAACAUCUCUGAUGCUUUGAAAAAUAGUAAUUUGAACCCUGAAUUUCACAGAAAAUAGUGAAAACAUCAUCUCUAAUUUAAAAAAAGUAACAUUUCUUCUGCGUUGCGAUACAAAACAGGCAUGAAUCUGAAGUGGAAAUCAUUGCAUGGGCUGAAAACAGUCUCCAAACCAUUUUUAGUCAAAGUUAUUAGUCCUUAUGUCUUCAAAUGCAGGAUAACCAUAUGUUGAUCCAUUCAGGACAGACUGAUGUUGAAUGAAUAACUGUCUUGUUGUCUGUUGAAUUAAAAGUGGGGUAGGCAGGAUCUGAGGAAGUGCCAGUUUUUGGGAGAUCUCUUGAAUAUAAACACUCAGUCCCUCAGUCUCUGCUCCAGCAAGCCCCGCCCACAAACAGACGUUCGUAUCAUUCCAUUUAAAUUCAGAUAUAAUGCAGAUAAAUACUUCAGAUGAUUAAAAAUGGGGCCCAGUCAAUGUGAAAAUAAAAAGCAUUGGUGCUACUGCAGAUGCCAACAGACUACCAGCAAAUACAAUGAUUACAGGACUUCUACAACUAGGAUAAAGUGACAUAGUCCAGGACCCGAGGUAAACAGUUUAGCAGCACUACAACACGCAACAGGUCCUGUUUCACAAGAAAUCAGGGAUGCUAAAGUGAUCUUGUAUACCUCAGUCAGACAUCACCUAAUGAUAUUUUGCAGGUAUCACAACAGUAUGGCUCAGAAGUUAAGGAAUCCAGGUGCUUUGCCCUAUUUUCAAUCACUCUACCUAACACAGCCGCUCUAUUUUUUUUUAGACAAUACAGCUGUGUUAUUGGCUGUUGAUUCACAUGUGAACAUAAACCUCAUGGCACUUUUAAUUAUAUAGUCAUGUUGUCCCUCAUUUGCUCCCAUCAUUCCAACAAGCCCAGCGGGGAAACAGUCAGCAGCAAAGAAAGUGCCAGAUGCUUUCAGAGAAAAUCACACAUUGCUUCAUUAUGACAACAUGCAUCAGCUGCAUCCUUCAGUACAUUCUGUGCUGCUCAGAUGAAUUAGCAUGCACAGCUUAAUCAGCUUAGAAAUUGAUUGUAUUGGGCUGUCAGACUUGUUGUGACUCCAAUCCCUUGCAAACUCCAUCAAUAUCAGCUCUGGGGAGUUUGCGUAUGGCUCUGCAUUUAACGGUGUAACCUGCACACAGGGAGACCAGCAGGAGUCCCCCCCUCGGCGUGGUUCAUUUGUCACCCCGAUGAUAAUCUAUAAUAGUCAGGUUCCCUGCUUGUGUGGGCCAAACUCGGCUGCAGCUAAGAGGCUGGAGUUGCUAUGCACAUUUUGGCUAACUACAUCAGAUGACGCGCAUGAAAAGAAAAAGGAGAAAUUGGAUUAGGCUUGAUGUAUAAAAAGGGUGUGUAAUUCCUGAUGACGUUGCUCUUACUGACACACUUCCCCAUCAUUAUACUUGCCAGCCUGCAGACUGCCAGUGCGGCACUGUGCCAUAAGUUUUGACCGCCGGUUGUGCCUGUGGUUUUUGUUUCUAAAAUCUGAUGUCUAAUUUGCCUACCAGCCUCGUGGUGCUUGUCUGUUAAGAUAACAGAGGGAUGAUAUUAUGAAGGGCCCUGAAGUUGCGUACUUUAGGGAUGAAGAUAAAUAGAAGAAGGGAUGACAGGCAAAGUUAAAGUGACAAAAAAAUACAAAACGGGCUGCGACCUAAAUCAGGGCAUCCAUUCCACCUCGACUGAUUACUUCACAGCCGGAGCUGAGCCGGCAUUAAAGCAACCCUCUGUGUUUUUGAUGACUGAGUCCCAGGGAGCUGUGUUUUGAUAAGCAGGUCCUUGUGCCGUUUGUGCCACUCGCUCUGCUAGCAUGCACAAGAGGACCAUUCCAGUAUUUUAAAUGGGCAACCCAUUUUCCACAUCAAAGUCUGUUUACAGGUCUUGGAAAGCCCUAACCACUUAUGUGAAAAGGGGGUUUUUGAAGGGUUUGUGGUUCCAGUGGGAGCAGAGCAAAGUCUGAUAAACUGUUUGGGACUGAAGACUACAAGUUAAAAAAAUAAGUAAAAUCUGGGCGUGGAUGUGGAGUGGGGCCUGAAUUUGAGACAACAUUAGUUCCUACUUGCACAAAACACUAAAUGUUUUGUUGCAAUUACUUGUUUAUUUGUUUAACCUUUGUUUAACCAGGCUAGUCCCAUUGAGAUCAAAAAUCUAUUUUUCAAGGGGGGCAUUGUGGGUAAUAUAAGAUCAUAAAUGCAAUUUAUAAUUCAGCGACCAGUUCUGCUGGACACAGGAAAAAUGUUAAGUAUUGGGGCACCCUCAUUAUUUUCAGUACCAAACACGACAAUGACUUUGUUUAGUUUGGCAGUACUUAACUGGAUAACAGCCGAUUGUGUUUAGUGUUUAGAUGAUCCUGUAGAAAAUCCUCAAUUUGUUAUAAAUAAGCUUUGGGUGAGAAGUUAGGCUACAUUCAUACUGUAGGUUAUGAUGCACAAUUCGGAUUUUUUGUUAAAUCCGAUCUUUUUGUGCAGUUGUUCACAUUACAACAACGAAUGCGGUAUCUAAUGUGAACGGAAUGUGCCCGCAUGUGCACAAAGCACAAAUUGCUUUCCACGCCUGUUUGUGUUAUCAAACAAUGUUGACGUUUGUCGCAUAUUGAUAAUGUAUAGGUCGGUGUCCACACUGCAGUAACAUCGGAUACAUAUCCGAUUUAUAUCCACGUACAAAAGAGGCCUGGGUCGAAUUUGAAAAACUCAGAAUUGCACUGUUCACGCUUACAUGAAAAAAACAGAUAUGUGUCACAUAUGGUUAAAAAAUCGGAAUUGACCUGCAGUGUGAACAUAGCCUUAGUGUUUUUCGCAUUAAGCCAAGCUUGGUUGUUAUACAAAAGAAGAGGACCCAAUACUGUCCCCUGUGGCACACCCCAUUGUUGAGAGGCUGAUUGUAUGGGGCAAAUCAAGAGCAGGAUCAGUCCAAAGGUGAAUUACCAUGCUUCCGCCUGAAAAUAUCCUGAUUUUAAUGAGCAAAUUUUGUACAAAUGAUACUUUUUAUUAAACAUUAGCAUUGGUUUCUAAUAUUAUUUUUGAAGACAGGUGGGUGUAGAGCUGUUCUUGGUAUUGUACUAUUAAAAGUAAGGCCUCAUCGUGUCUCGAAUGUGUUUUACCCAGUGACAGAUGACAGUUUGUUUACAAGAAAACGCCACAGGAAACUUUAAGUUAACAAAGUUAAUAAACCCUACAGAAACCCUGCUGGGCCAGUCACUGCAGACUCAGCGUGAAGCCAAACACUGUUCAAACUCUCAGAACUUUGAUGCCGUGGUCCCAAACACUACAAAGUUUGUCAGGUUGGCAUAAUUCGGGGGGGAAAAGUGUGAAAGGAUUCGCACACAACAUGAAGGAAAAUUCCAGCCGAGGGAAUGGCACAGCCAAAAAAAAAAAAUACAGAGUCUUGUGUUUGAACAUGUUUCUCUGAGUUAAGAAUACGGAGCCUCGAUGAUUAGGCUGGAAAAAUCUAACAGGGAGUAUGUUUGUUUCUGCCAGCCACAGUUAAAACAAUCUUUCUCUAUCCAGCAAGUUAUAAAUCAGUCCUUUAUUUGAUGCUUCUUGUCCUGUUUGCUGCAUUUAAACAUCAUAGCAUGUAGGUACUGGGUGCAAAGAAGACCUGUCAGUCAUCUACAUAUUUGGUUUUUUAAUAAAGCUUGAGUAGGAGUUGCUCUUUUCAUUGUUCAUUGUUCCCUUUUCUUUUCUCUUCUCAUGCUAAUUACCCAGCUCUCCUGCCAAUACCAGAAAUAUAAAGCGCACAUAUGCCAGAGAAUGCAAGCCAAACAAUGGAGGGCUGAUGCAAAUGUAGGCAAAAUUAAAACCCCUGUGAGUGUUAAAAUAAGACUCUCAUUUGUUUUUACAAUAAGAGAUAAGAACUUAUUUACAGGAAACUUGUUUUGAUAUCAUCUAGAAACAGCUCUUGAUGUAGAUAAUCAAAUACAAGCACGUAUUUUAACUUGUUUUACCGUCAACACUGUCCAGAUAGGAAUGUAACGCAGUAUGAGACCGCUGGGAUACAGUGCGGGAUACCACAAGGUUCCAUUCUGGGGCCACUGUAGUGUCAUCUACAUUAACAAUCUUGUGUCAAACACUAUAUGUAAAUAGUAUUUGCUGGUUACAAAGAUUUACUAAUUGCAUAAACUGGCAUCAUAUAGUAUAGUUUUGAAUUAUUUAUCAACACAUUUGUGUGAGUCAAUUUUUUACUGCAAAAUUUAUCAUUUUUUUGUAUUUCUUUUUUUUUUUUUUACCUUGGUACCUUUCCUCAUAUUUUGUUCACUUUUUUUGUAUAUUUCUUUUAAUAGUGUACAAAUAAGUCAACUAAAACCAGUUCCCAGUAGAACUAUUUGCUCCUCUUAUUGUGAUGUUUCCAGUUGUUCUUGUUGUUCAUACAGUAAACUGCUCUGAUUUCAUCCUAAGCUUUGGGUUUGCAGAAAGCGUUCAGAAAAAUUGGUGUUACCAACUUGAAAACCAGAGGCCUUUCCGGGGGAGAAAAGCAAGCAAUCUUAAAGUGAGCAGAAAAUGGGAAAUCAAUGAUAGCAAUAGCUCAAGCACCGGCCAAAGCCAGUACAACUAUGCCCCAAAGAAGAAAGAAACCACCGGCGUGCCUGGAAACACUUGUUAAACCAGAGGACCGGAACAGCAGACAAAGCUGCAGGUGUGAAGAAAAUCCUUUAACAACCAUUUGUGGCACUAGCAACAACUUUCACAGGGGAGGGAUAAAAGGUCAUUUUCAAAAGAAAUGUUCAUUUAUAAGAAAUACAAACAGGUAAACCAAUUCAGAGUUUACCAAAAAAGGAUAAAUGAUAAGGCUCAAGAGUUUUAAGACAAGCCUUGAUGAAUUGUGAGGAAAAAAAAAAAGAUUGUUUGGUCAAAGUGUUGGGAAAACUAAUACGUAUGAAAGAUUGGACAAUCCCAAGGACAAAAGCUCAUCGGAGCAAUGGUAAAGCCUUUGCUUUGACCGAACUGCAAAAUUAAACCAGAGCUCAUCAGAGUGUUUAAAUGAAAGUCUCAAGACUGGCCAAGCCAAUUUUAAGAUGUCAGCCUUAUCAAGCCUUUUAGAUGCUCAAAGGUGGACUGAAGGGAAUAAAACCCUGCAAUCAAUGCUAACUACCGCGAUGACCUCCUGGAAACCAUCAUUAGAGAAGAACUUAAUGAAAGAAGAGGAUUUGUAGUCUUUAUCGAGUGGCGUUUCAAAGCCGGGAUGGGUAAUUCUGGGGGUAACCAGACAGAGAAAGUUUCAGAAAAAGUCAACAAGAAGAUGUGGAAGUUUUACAUUGGAUCAUCACCAUCACUUAUCCCACUCAGUCAGUGGAUUAACAGGCGACCCUUUGCCAUUCUAAUGUUCUUCUUGGAAAUCAUGGAUGCCAAGUCAUCCAGGCUACAAAAGAGAGGGACCACCAAGCUUAACAUGAGCAGGAUGGAACGAUAUCUCACUUUUAAUACUCUAUAAACUGUUUGCCAUGGUUCUAAAAUGUUUGCAGUGUUGCUAAAAGAAGAGGUGAUGCAACUCAGAAAUAAACAUGCUCUUCUUUGAACUAUUUUCAAUCAAAUAUAGAGUUAAAAUGACAUGCAAACCAUCAAGUUCUUUUUUUUUAAUUAGCGUCUGAACUUUCUUGGAGUUGGGGUUGAAGUCACAGAAGCGAUAGUUAGUUCCAACUCAUAUCCCUCUUUAUGUUUCAUUAAUCUACCCCCUAUCCCUUCAAUAAUCUCAAAGAAGGAGUGUUCACAGAGUCUCGCCUGCUGUUCACUGUUUCCUGCUGUAUCUCCUGUUCCUCCUCCUCGCUACAGGUCAUAUGGAUUCCUGCCAGUGUUUGAGGACAGCCGCUUUUGUCAAAAUUUGUGGAUGUAAACAACUCAAUGGGCUGACAAGAACUCAGCUCUGUACAAUAACAGUGCUCUGUUCCCCUGCGGCUGUGUUUGCUUUCAUGUUUGUAUCUUAUAAGUGUGUCUGCUCUUAGCUAAGGGAAAAAAAAAAAAACGGAGAAGUGAUUUUGCUUCCAGCGCUGGUCCCACAGUUCUCUUGAACUUCAAAGGACUGCGAGGGAAACUUUCCUACAUCUUGAUGCUGCAUUCACCCCUGUGCCACAAUCAGGAAGCUUCCAUCUAUCUCCAUCUGCGGGUACUCACUGAUACAGACCUGGAAUGUAAAAAGAUUUCUCUUGGAGAUGAGUCAAGUAAGGUUUUUCUUACAGCUCUCCUUCCACUUUGCUGAAAUUAGAAUCCCUUCUUCGCCCGGGGCGGUAAAAACCAACAUGUGCCACAUUGUAAUGUCAUUCAUUGCAUGGUUGUAUUUAAAUCAGAUCAAGUCUGUGCAAAUUUGGAGUAUGCUUGCCCAUGAGGGUGGGGGGGUUCUCACCACAGGCCAUGCUGAUUGGACCGACUAAUCAAAAAGAUACAAUUGUACCGAAUGAUGAAAUGCAAACCCGAGAUGCCGGCUCCUUUUGAUAUUUGCAUUUUUCCAUUUAAGCCCCUUCUCGGCAAGACACUGUCACCUCAUUCAAGAGCCGCAGCUUCUCAGAAAUACAGUUCAUUUUGGAAGUGAUGUAUGAUUAGCUCUGCCAGCCACAAUCCUAAUUGAAAUGAGUCCCGGCUGUGCAGGCAGGGGGGGAGCGGGGCAGGGAUAGACAGCUGUGCUCGUUUGAAUUGGUCGGAAUCAGUUGUUCGUCCAAUUUCACUGUAAGGACUAAUGAAUUACAAGCUGCGCUGAUAAGGUCAUGUGGGGUGAAAUUUGACUAACAUUAACAUUUAUUACAGGUGCAGAUAAAAAAAACUCACGUCUUGAAAGAAACAAAUUCCUUUUUCUCCCAUAAAGUCCAACUUUCAUACAUUAGGACAUAGUGGAAAAAUCCAGAUUCUUGUCCUGAAAAGAGCUCUAAUCAGCGGAUGAACUCUGAACACCUGCAAAGUCUUUAUUCUCAUAGUUCUUCGAGCAUGCUUGUAUUUGCUUCCGAGGUACUAUAGUCCCUUUCUGUUCAAAACAAGCAUUCAAAACUACACAGAAUCCAGUUCAUUUACACCUCAAUGCAAACCCGACUGUUCCUUUUCCAUGUCACUAUUCAAUAUUAUUCAUUCCCCAUGACUCAUACCACCACUGUACUUGUGUUUUUGGUGCUGCAUCAACAUCUGAAAACAGCUCCAAACCAGAAGUGCUUACAGUGACAGGAGUGCAGGAGUGUCACAAUGUACAAUCUACACUACAGCAGCUUCUGAAGUGAUGGGAAUGCAUGCAAAAAGGAGUCUCAAGGCAAUUUUUUUCUCUCUCUCACCUCUCAAGUGGCAGUACAAGGAAUUCAUCCUUAUCUCCCGUCAAGAAAAAUAUAAAAAAUCCCCUUUUCCUUUCUGCCCAUUGCACACAAGUGUGGAAUAAGAAGCUUGCUGGGCCUUUUUUUUCCUGCAAAGUUCUGCACGCUGACUGAUGCGUAGGCUCUGCACAGCAUCAGAUUACUGGAUUUAGCGAACGGUUUUGAUUGCAUAGCAUGGUAUUCAGCUUGGAUGUUCUUUGACGACACAUCAUAAAUGGUUUUAAAUAGAGCAAGGACAUUAUAUUAAAUAUCAUAAACUGAAAAAUUUCAUUAAGUUAUGAAGGAUAUUCAUGUAUUUUUGAUUUGAUGUCAAUAACACGUUUUAAAAGUUUUCAAAAACCACCUAGAGCAGACCUGGGCAUUUUACGGCCCUUUGGAUGUCCCUGCCUGGCCCUUCGUGAGGUGCGUCAAUCAAAUCAUCAACAGACUAUAAAAGUGUGUCGCUUUUAUUUUGAAAACCUAGCUGUUGUUUUAUUUCUGUUUGGAUUCACGUGCGUACAUCCUAGAGACAAGUUUAAACAUUGGCAAAAUAUUCAUAGACGCCUUAAGGUCCUUUCACAUCAGCAACGUUUUCCUGUCCUGCGAUUUUGCGGCAUUUAUUUUUUCGGAUCAUGGUUGAUUUUUUCUAAAAUUUCGCAUACUCUGUGUCCACUUCUGACCAAUCAGAUUUCGUGUUGUUGCGAUGUCAGAUUCACUGGUAUAUCCAACAUGGCUGACCGGCUGAUUGUUUGUGAUCGUUUACACAAACAUUACAAAGAUAACGACCUGAAGAACAACUUGUGGAGAGUCAUAGAGAGUCAAGAACUUCAAAUUGUCCAACGGACAUCCGAAAUAGGUUCUGAAGCGACCAUGGUACAGUUUAGCUCCUGAACCAAGCAGUCAAACUCACGAAGCUCUCUUCUUUUUUUUAAAAUAUUGAAUGCACCCAUGUGCUACAUAUCUUUUUCUUUUGAGAAAGCAAAAGUAGUACCAAUUCGCCAUCACUUGAAGUUCAAGUAGACUCUAUUUUUGUCUUCUGGCUUCCAUCCGGGGGAUGGAAAGGGAAGGUCCCACCCACCUUCGCCUCUGAUUGUCUAUAAGUGUUGACCGUUUGGCUUGAGCGUGUGAUGAUGUUUCCAGCUUUUCUAGCCAAUCAGAGGCGAAGGAGGCGGGACUUUCCCCUGGAAAAGUCUUCCCUGGGAUGCGUCUUUUUCCCCUGGAAAGUCGCAAAAUCGCAUCGGGCUUGAUGUGUAUAAUCAGGUGCGUAUAUUCCGAGAUUUCGCGUUCUAUAUUCGUGUUGGCCCCAGUGUGUAAGGACCUUUAGAGUUGCCAAGUCCGCCUAUUAUAAAAGACUUUAAGUUUGUUUUUCUCAGAAGUCGCUUGUAAAACUCGUAAGUCGUGGGUGCUCUUCUUUUUGGGCUUGUUUUUAACUAGUAGUUGCUUCUCUGUAUGUGUGAACCCCCACUGAUUUGAAGUUGAAGUAUUGUUGGUUCAGCCCUCCAACACAAAUAAGGUUUCUCAUGUGGCCCCAUGUAAAAAUUAGUUGCCCACCCCUGACCUAGAGGAACAUCUCUCAACUGAUUAUGCUAAUCUGCAACAAGUUAGCAGGGUUGAGCCUGCUGGAACUGGGGGGAUUUAAUAACAUCACCAUCUAUGUACUGCAUAUACAUACACUGCAUCCAAAAUAGACAUGGCUCUGUAGUGGAACUCACCGCAUAGGCCCAAAAUCACCUCCAAAAGCUACAUCCUUUGAAAAAACGAAAGCUACAACUCCUACUGUGCUUAGAUUGAACUCUAAAUUUACAUGACAAAGUACCAACAUUUUACACAGUGCCCUAACUGUGGUGGAAUUCCCCCCUUUCUCUCUGCCUGUGUGGAAUAAGAGGCUUGUUGUGUCUGUUUCCUGCAGAGCUCCGCACACUGACUGAUGCAUAGCCUCAGCAAAGAAUCAGAGCACUGAUUUGGGUUGAUGUUUCAUUGCAGGGAACUAAAUACAGGUUAGUGAUAUGAAAGAUUGCUCUGUUAGUGACGCCAUUGGCCGCGGGAGUACACACUUGUUGCAGAGGUAAUAAUGAAGAUGCAGACGUGACAGCCAUUUCAAACUGAUUUGCAUUUUUUUUUUUGUCUUUGUUUACUGCUACCAGCAUCUAAUUAUUAUUCACAGAGGGGGACAACAAUGUGUCAUCUUCUAUUUGUGGGAUUGGGGCGAAAUGACUUGAAAUGCACAUGUUUCUCACAUGGAAAAGAGUUGCCGAAGGCCCAAACAGUAUUACUCUCGCUUUAUUUUGAUUGCACUUCAUUAAAACAGCUUUAGAAAGAGUGCGCCUCAAAGACUCACCGCCAUAAGACAAAGCUGUAAUUGAAAUUAGAGGUAACAGAGGACUGUAGGUGCGUGCCAGGAAAGUAGAAUACCGUGAAGAAGCAAGUUUCAUACAGAUAGACUGCCUUAUAAUCUAUAUUCAUCAUGUAAAGUGAGUAUUUCAAGUCUUGUUUGGCUUGUUUUGAUUUGAUUUUGAUGUUUUUGGAUUUCAGCUCGUGAAAACCAGGAAGCUGGGAUUAUAAAUGGCCACGGGUGGUACUGGAUUGGCUUUUGUGAUCAAUAUACACUCAUUUGGACCAAACUAAAUCAAGACCUUGAGAAAGUUGAUGCUUCUGGGUCCAGUGUUUCCUAUCCACCACUUUAAAGUACCCGUUAAGUUCUCUAUUGGGUUCAGGCCAGGCUAUUUGGACAAACCAUUUGGUGGUAGUUUUGGCACUGCAGGCAGGACAUAAAGGACACUGACACCUCCAUAAAACUUUCCAGCGGAUGGAAGCAUAAAGUACUCCGAAAUCGAUUGGUAGAUUUGCUGCGUUGACUCCUAAGAGUCCACUUGCAGCUGCCAGAAUUCCUUUUGUUUGUGCUUGUGUACCCGGUCCGACUAAACUUUUCUAUGAAUGUGCCUCGGUGUGAACAACCAGCCUUCUCAGUUGAGUGUUAUUUGUAUAAAUUUAAUAGGCAAUGGAAAAUAAUCAACCCGUUCUGUCUUAAUGUGACUCAGCCACGGAUAUUCAUCUCUUUUCUGACUCUACAUAGCGCUUCCAAAAGGAACAUCUGAGCUACCUUCACUUUAAGUACGAUACGUCUUUGCUCUUUCGUCCUUGCAUGUGUCUCCAUUUCAUCUUUCUGCUCUCUUUGCUGUUUCCUGUCUGUAAGAAGAAAAAAAAAAAAAAAGGUUUUCAAAAACUUUUGAACCCACUUGAAAGUACGAACCACAAGGUUGGCCUUUUCAUGUGUCAUUUUUCUUUCAUUUUCAAACUGCGAUAUUGAAGAGAAAACAUCCAAAUUAGAUCAAAAAUCGUACUUUUGCUGUGGUCUGCACUGUGCAAAAUGCAAAUAUGAUCAUUCUGAGUUAAAUGUGGAACAUCAAAGUCCAGCAUAAAUUUGAUGCUGCAAACAGCAUAAGAAAUAACUGCAUACAUUUUUGUAUUAUACAGCUGCUGAACUGCAGAAUCCACUUGUACUUGAAGCGUGUGCUUCUCUAAGCAAUUAGCUGCACAUACUGCACCGUCAGAUCGAGACAAAAACACAUUUUGGUCCCAAUCUGAUCCACCCAGAGCUGUUUCAACUUUAGUUCAAGGGCUUUACGUUUGAUGAGGAGGGUAUUCAGUAUUCUUUUAAGACCCCAAAGGAUCCUUCACUUCUGAUCUCUGCGUUAUGCUUGCUCUGCCACUUUUGAAGCUACAAAAAGAUGAUAGUUGAUGGAUUUUUCUGAGGACCUUCGUGAGCUGCGGAGGUCCAGGUGAGCAGCUGGAGAGAUCACCACACGGUGCAAGGUUUCACUGUCGCCCUAAGGUACACAGGUGGCGGCCCAUUGUUGUCUUUGUGUUCCCAUCAAGGCCUCGAACCAGGACCGGUCAUGAGCAGUGUCACGCAAAUAUUUGGACAAGUCAAAGACAUGGACUUGACACUUUCAAUGGGUGUCUAAUAAGUGGUAACCCGAGAGUUGAAAAAGCAAACUGCAGUUCCUCAAGCAGCCACUAGAGGUUGGAUGAAACACCAAGGAAUCUCCAUUGGGUCCCACAUUGAAAUGCCUUGAUUUGAGUAUUCAAAGAGCUCUGUUGGUCCAAGUCUAGCAAUACCAGAAACCCUGAAAAGUUUACUCUGUGACACAAUAAACUAAUACAUUUAUUUAAAUUUAAAUAACAAGGUUACAAGGUAGAAGGAAAAAAAGACAAAAGUCAGGCAUACAAUCACCAAUGAUUAAAACAGGAAUUAAAACAAAACCGUGAUGAUUUAAGAACAUAAGGGAUCAAAAGAUAAAGGUCUAAAAAAGAGAUGAAUGACAGAAAUGAGAGGCAAAGUAAAAUAAAAAAAAAGGUCUAAGCCGUCAACAAAUAAAACAAUUUACCAAGUUACAAAGACUGAGACAAACACCAACAGAUAAAAGAAAAUGAAAAAAUAAUGGGAAAAAAAGCAUCCAAAAGAUAAAAAAACAUCUUAAGAUCUUGUCUGUAAUUGGAGCAUAUAGGAACAGAGAUCUGAAACACACUCCUGCAAAAACAUAUCCAUGUUUUCAAAAGGAGUUUAAAGGUGAUAAAGAUGUUAUCAGGAAAAAUACAUUAUGUAUUUUGGGUUGGGGAUUGCAUUAAUACUGUCUGAUACAUUUUUAUAUCUGGUCCUGGACUGAAUUUCAACCAGUUGAUAAGCUUCAUCGACUGGCAUGGUUUGGUGGCCAAAAAAAGGCUCAGACAGUUUUGUUACUGGUUUCCAUCAUGGCUCUGUGAUGGUUAAUUUCAUAUGGAUGGGCCCAUGCUGGUGCACAUUUGGAGCCAAUCCACACAGACCAUUACUGGCAUUGGAUUUCCGGAAUCCCCAUUUUUAAGCAAUGUAUUGUAUAUGCUUUGGAUUUCCCCAAUGGGCUCCAACACCAAUCCCCCCAAAGCCAGCUCUGGGCCCAUGCUGAGUUGGAGGCAAACCAAAUAAGGUAAGCCUAUAUGAGGCUGGGAUAUUCCCUUAAUACAUGCUACCAAUAGACUGCAGUUUCUAAUCCCUGGCAUGGUGUGGGCCUUGUUUAAAUGUCAACACACAGGGAACUGUCGCCAUGGUGGAUUGUUAGUUUUGCCUCCGGCAUGGCAAGCAGGUUGAAGAAAAACAGGGACAAACAAAACUGGAUUAGUUUAGCCAACAGUAAUUAGUUUGACUUUGUUGAGAGCACAAAGUGUCGUCUUGAGAGACUGAUCUGGUGCAGCCGUUGAUUUAUGGGACUACAACUUAAGUACAGCUUUGCAUCCUGACAUGGUUGCGUGCCUUUAUCGUCACUCUACUCAAAGUUUACUCUGUGAAACUGGUCCGAUAAAUGUCAUCUGCGAACUUUCCCAGGACUUAUGGAUCCAACUGCUGUCACCUUGGGCUUGUACACUUUGAUAUAUGCCUUCAAUCAACAGUGCCGCCUUUUUUGCUCAUCAGUCUAAGCCUCUGGAUGAUCAGGUUUUCCAAAUUGGGUGGUGGCCACAUGACAAAACACUCAUGCAAGUGUGUCAAUUCAGAACUGAAUGUUAUCAUUAUGACACAAAUCUGUCGCAACCCAGCAGUUCUCCUAGUUUGCAUGAACCAACAAGUCCAGGUGUGUUUUCUGUUCUCAUUCCAGUCAAAAGUUUCUGCUCAUGUAUGUCUGUUAGAUUCAGGCAAUCCAAGCAAAUAACCUUUCGCCUUUACCCUCAGGGGAACCAGAUUACCUGGGUCCACUGUGUAAGAUUUUCUUGAAAUCUAGUCGUCUCCACUGGAGUAUGCGAGCUGAAAUGAUGCAGGCUGAAACAAUUCUUGCAUUAUUACCAUUCCGAGGCUCCAUCUUGGGGAAAAUAUGAAAUAUUCUUGCAUGGUGCAUUCAAUAACACACACUGCCCAUGGCUCAUUUUUAGCAGGGAACAUUUCCCCAAAUGUAUACCCAUAAAUCUGACUCUCAAGGUCCGGUCUCUACUUCUUUUUUUGGCUGUAAUCACCACAGUAAGUGGAUUUGAUGGCAGAGACUGAGUACAUUAGUGCCAGGCUUUCACAAAAAGUUUAACUCUGACACACACAUUUGUGGCAUUGACUUUAAACCAUCUUGACAGCGCUGAUAAGACCGUCAAAAAUGGUGGGAGCUAUCAUUUUAGCUGUGCUGCAUGGGAAUGCACAUGUGAAUUCAGCUGUGGCAUUUUUGCAAGUCAAGUGUGGAGUGAGUGAAGCCUCGAAAAGACACUUGCAUACAGGGAUCCCACAGCCAUCAUUCACAUGCGGGGAUAACGUCUCUAAAUCUUUACCAUAAAUGAAUAAGCUACUUUCAUUACACAACCCGCAGGAACUUUUGUGUCCCUGCCAUUUAAGCUGACAUUUAAUCAAUGUAGCCUGCAUUGAUUAAAUAUAUGUAGAUUAUAAAGACCUGAUUCUAACAGAAAUGGUAGGAUGCAUUUGAACCAGUUUCUGGAGUUUUGGAAGUCAGCUGCUGUACCAUUCUUGCCUGAUCCAGGAUUUCAGCAGGAUUUGAGUUAGUCCAGAUAAGCACCCAGGCUCUUCCACAAUGGAAUGAAGCUGAAUAUCUUGCUGAAAUGUGUAAACUCAUCCAUUUAAAAAGAAAAAAUAUAUAUAUCUUUUUUUUUUUUCUCUCUUAAGUAAUUUUAAGCCCAUGCAGUGAUUUCCACCACAAAUUUAAGUAUAUGUAGUAUUUGUUGUAUAUCCUUUUAUUUCCUCUGAAUCUUUUAACCAUAUAAUGAACUUAAAUGAUGAAAUCCCACAAGACUUUGCAUUGUUAUUCUGCAGUUCUUGAAAGAAAAUCUCCCUGCUUAUAAUGAUAACAAAUUUAAAGUGUUUCUUAAAGGAUUACAUCACUUUUUUUUUUAAACAUAUCUUUUUUCAUAUUUUUAGAGUUUCUAACAUUCAAUUUAUUACAUUUGAGGUAUUUCCAAUGACACGGAUAUAAAUUAAAAAGAUUUUAAACUAUAGAAGAUGCAUUAAAGCUUCUGUGAGGACUUUUUCUUUGCUGUCUAUUUUGCGUGAACUUUCUCUCCUAUGUACAGUAUAUGUUGUGAGUGGCUCCUAAAAAGCAAGUCCCACAUUCAAAUGUGCCACGUAUCGAGGCAUUUUUUUGCUGCUCAAUAGGAAAAGAGCUGUGUAACCCUAGAACACCAUCACUAUCGUCGGGUGUAAUUAACCGAAAUAAUUCAAAAGUACUUAUCAAAAUUAUAUCAAAAUAGGACAAUACAUGACAAAUUAAAGUAAUUUUCUUUUAUUUUUAACUGUGCAAUGUCCAAAGGGAGGAAAAAAAGUGCCAUACCAUGUAAAAAUGCAACAAAAUAACUGAAAUUAGGCAUUCAUGAACAAAAAAUUCCUAAAGAAAAAAAAAAAAAAUAUAUAUAUAUAUUUAUAGAAACUGUAAACUUAGUUUCCUUUCCACCCAUUUCUGAGGCAUGUGAGUCUUCCCUGUUGAAGACUCAGGGUCCUUGGCACAAUAACAACUGCAGGAGAGAGAACCAAAAUAUGGCAUAUUUUCAGUGAGUAAAAAUGAAAUAUUUCUUAUCACCAUAUGAAUUCCCUUGAACAUCACUAUUUUCUGAUAGUUAUUCAUAACCACUGCACUAAAAAAAGAUAGCAUGCAAAUUCCAGGACCACUCUUACUGACCUUAUUCCCUACAUGCAGCUAAAACACGAAAUCAGCUCAAUACACUAUUACCUCAGCUAUGUGUUACUCAGUAGCUGAGACGCCAGAGACAUCAACCCUGCAAUAGAAUCACAGCUGUAGUCGAAGAAGGGAGGGUAAAUAUGGCAGUCCUGAAUGUUGUCAGAAAUGCAGCAAGAACACCUGCAUUUAUACACUUAACAGUAUUUCCAGGUAAAAUCCACCCAAACCUACUUUACCCUCUAUCACUAUUGCCGGGUGAAAAUCACCAAAACAUGUGCAUGUAGGAAAAAGUGGGUUUUGGAUCAGGGAAACAAAUUUGCCUACAAAGAUGUGAAAGGCAAUGCUGAAACUACCCAGAGACCCAUGAUACUCAGACAAACGCAACAGAAUGAAAAUCACGUAAACAUGUUUGGUCGGGUGAAAAUCACCCGGCGAUAGUGCUCUAGAGAUAAACAGUGUGCAGGUUUCCACUUGGUCUGACACCUACCCCCGCCAGUGGUCCCAGAUAUUAAAAAUCUUAACAUAGAAACAGCAAGUCUUCUUGCGAAUGGUCUUGUUUGCCUUUUGGGGUCAGAAAAAGGCAACAAUAUCAAUUUCAGUCUUUUUCAUGAUUGUAUAAAAACUCCCUACAGGAGCCUACAGGAGCACGGUGUCGUAUUCUUGGAGUUGGCGCGGUCCCUAUCGUGGAGUAGUAGGGCCCAAUGAGGGAUUCUAUUCACGGGGCCCUAAAUCCCUGGCAGCACCCCUGCUCGCACAUGGUUGGCAGCACAAGUGGACACCAAACAAUAGCUGUAUAUUUCCUGCAUUCAGAUAGAAAGUCGUGACUGCAUGAAUUCCUGCGGAACUGAUGCAGACUUUUGCUAAAGGAAGGUGUUGGAAUAUGUAAACUUAUCUCAGAGUAUCUUUACUGAUCCCAGGGGGGGGAAUGUGAGCUCCAAGCAAAAAUAAAAGUUCUUGCAUUUACAAUAGCACUUUCUGCAGACGGGGAUAGUUUGUAAGAAGAGGAGUUAAUGUAUCUCCUUUUUUUUUUAUGAUCGUCAUACAUAUUCAAGAGAACCACCUACAGUAUCGCACUUUGUAUGAGUUUAUGCAAAUGACAGCUCAAGUCAAAAUUACCGGCCUCCACUUAGUCUGUCUCUUUUGCUCUCUCCAGCAGCAUCUUCGCCUGCUCAGCUACUGUUGUGGUGCUUGCUGAACAAAAAAAAAAAAGAACCAUGUCGUUUGAGAAACAAUGUUGCUGUGCUGCAAGCUGGGAAAAAAAGCUUGUCUAGCAACUUGUUUUCCACAGAGAUGAUGAUGUGUGCACAUGCAAGAAAACACCACUGAUGUAUUGUGCAUAUAAAAAGAAAACAGUAUUUUACUGUAUUUGCAGAAUUUAACCGUUUUUAUUAAUUAUUCAGAUGGACUCGAUUUCAACCUCGCUCUUUCUGCUGCCAGCUGAUGAAUAACAGUAAAAUAAAGCAAUGGAGUUCAGCAAAGGGACAUUACAUUAUCUCUGUUUUCCACUUUAUAUCCACCUCAAUUUUCUUUCUUCACAUUCUUAUCCAUUGGGAGAAGCAGCAGAAUCAUUACCCCACUGCUUCCCCAUUUGCCAGCAAUGCAACCACAGGUCCAAAUAUCCAAUCCAGUCCUCUUUAUUUUCUUCCCUCUACACAAUUUAACAGCAGAUAAGAGCCUGUGCUUUAUGUCUAGAUCCACACAUACCUCUAAUUGCCAGUGCCUGUCCUUUCUACUAAGUCAUUAGUACCAUAAUGCGCUGUGAAGUCUAUCUCUGGCCCAGAAUGCUGCGCUCAGCUCGCUGUGGUUGGCCGUGCCAACAGGAAUAUAAGAACAAGUCUGAGUUAGGGAGGAUAAUAUAUAAAACAUAUCCACAUGUGGCUUGUCUUGUGGUAUUUUUGGAACAGAUAGAUAGUAUUGUGACUCAAUUUGGAGCGUAUUGGUCUUUUGCACCUUAAUCUGAAUUGAAUAUGGGAUUUUAAUCAAAACGGCGUGGGGAAAAUGAGUUGAUUUGACAGUUUUCGUCACCAAUAAAGAAGCACCAACAGGAGAGCUGCCAAACUGAGAAGAAAUGGAUAUAAAACAUCUGGAGUUCUCGCAAUGACUGAAAGAAAGACAUCUAUAAACAUGCUAAUAUGAACUGCUCACACAACAGAAAAGUGAGACUUGAACAGAGAAAGCUGAGGCCAAAAAAAGAGAGGAAAAAACUAAUUGGGACUAUUUUUUACCCAAAACAAGCCAACAUAUGUUGUUGUCCUAAACUGCUACACAUAGCAUAUUUAAUCGCACCAAUAAACCGCACAUAUUUAGCGAUAAAUUAGCUUAAUGAGGCGGUCAAUGCUGUAUGUGAAGGCUGUAACCCGACAAAAGGAGUCGUCCCUGUGAGCUAGUGCAGCAUUUUAUGGCUUUAAGCUUAUUUCAUAGCCCAUCUGUCGUGCUACUUUACUGUACCUGACACCCCUGGUGACUGAGUUAUCAAAAAAAAAGAAACUAUUGUUUGCUUCUUUAUGUUCACAUCCCAUACUCCGAGUUUCUACAGCGCCUGCACAAAAAAAAGAAAGGUUUAGACGUAUAUUCUCAAUAGCCCUUGACUUCACCCAAGGCCCUUAAUUUUCAACAUACUGGAGUGGGAGUUGAGGAGGUGUUAAAUAACUGUUUAAAAGCAAAAUAGGAGAUGGGUUAAAAUACAAAAAGAGGUCUAAAGGUGGUUAAUGGAAAGCUUGAGUUCAACUUAGAAGUAUGUCCAAGUUAAGUGGGAUGCUGUAUAGAUUUACAAGAGUGCAACAACCUUGUUCAAGUUCACCCGAGGUGAAAAUAACUGCAUUAGCCACGGUUUGAGGCUAAUCUAAACACAACCAGGGGAUUAAUCUCUGCCAAAACAACACUUGGAUGUGUUUUUUUGUUUAUUUGGUCCAGUUUAAAACAAAGCGAUCUCUUGGGUCAGUGUUUCUUUUCCGCUUUUCUCGACUGACCGAGUGCCAUUUCACCCCGGGUCUUUUUUUUUAUCCGCUGUUACACAUUCCUUCUUAAAUUGAUACAAACCCUUCAAGGAUGUGAUUCUGAGCAGAUUGAGUCACCUGAUUCAGACUUUUUAAUGACCUAAAAUUACGAACUGCCGCGAAAUUGUUAUGCUUAAUGGUAAUUCAAUCACAAACAGUUGACUCGCAAGCAGAAAUGCGCUUCCUAAUUUAACUUUUGGGCUGUAGUAGAAUUGCCUCGUGAUUCUCAAAAAGAAGAUGAGAGGAUUCGCAGAAACGUACAUGAAGCCCAGAGUGUUGUGCAUGAACAGGCAGGAGAAAGUUAACAGGGGAGGUAUUAUGGGAGCAAGCUAAAGGUAGUCUUUUAGGCUGUUAGCUCAUGCAGAGAGGAUUCAUCUCAAAUGGCGAAUAAGAGGCAGACGAAACAGUCAUUUGUUCCGGGCCUAAUUGGGCUCCAUUUUAAAAUCUGCCGCAAUAAUGGCUUUAAAAGAAAGAACAGCAUCAAAUCAGCGCUGUAAUACCGGUGAAAAAGAAAUGUCCAGCAGCUCUUGCAGCGAGGCAGUACAAUAAAACACAAGAUGAUGAUUUCCAGUUGGAAUAUCACAUCCAUAAUAAUCAUUACAGCUAUUAUAUCAGUGGGGUGCUUUGGUGUGUGGCUGCAUAUGACCAAAAUGCACAUGGCGCUUAACAAGCCCACAUAAUUACUGGGUAACAGCAGUCUAAUGGUUGAGAUACAAUGUUUGGUCAUGGCUGUCUGGGUUUUUCCUCCAGUUUCUAGGAUGAAAACAAUGAGAAAUCAAUGGUUUGUUUAGUAAGGCUGUCAGAAUGGCUCUUCAGACGGCUGUGUUAGCUUAGAGUCUCAUAGCGUAAACCAUUCGGUCCACACCUCAAUACUUCCUUGGAUCCUGUACAGAUUGAGGCAAGUCAAAGUUUUUCACACGAAAUCCAAACUGUGCAAAAUUUGUUCAUGUAAGCAUGACUAUUUAAAGGGAUAUUCCACUGUAAAAUUAAGUUAGGGUCAAACACACCGUAACACAGAGUUAGACACCCCAUCGAGAGAUGAAUGUUGCUGAACGCUUGCUUCUCCAGUUAUACCAACUUUAGCAACGACAACAGAUAGCAAUACGAUGCAUUUUCCUGGUCCACAGAUGAUGAAUCCUAAUGUGCUGCUAUGGCUCAAGAACUUGUCUCUAAAUCUUAAGUUUGACCUGUUUUAGACUGUGUCCGAAAUGAAUCACUCAAUCCCUAACCCCUAACCCCCAUAUGGAAUUUCACUAUACAGCUGACUAUGUAGUGAGCUCAAUCGCCGGAGGUUUCGGACACUACAUGGCAUGAUGCAAUGUUUGACGGGAUGCCCACCACCGGUGAGUGACCAUCGUAUGGUCACUACAUUUUGCAAUGCUCUAUGGGAAAUUUUGAGUUGUCUAUAUGGGGCAUUGGAAUUGAUAACUCAGGUUUUGGACACCCCUCAAAAUGGUGCUAACCCCCAUAUAGUCGCCUAUAUAGGGGUUAGGGAUCACUGUCAAACACAGCCUUAAGGUCCUUAAAUGUAGGGACCGUUUUUUUUUUCGUGCUAUUAUUUUGGAAGUCAGUUUUUUUUUCGUGCUUGAUGUGUGUAGUCAAGCGCGUCAAAAUUCGCCUCUGAAUAUUUCAUAAUUUUGCGUCGUAUAUUUGCUUCGUUCCAGGUGUGUAAGGACCUUUACCCAUAAGCUUAUGUUUCCUAUGUUUGAUAACUAUUUUUCAUAGUCCCCUGAGGGUGUUAUUUUUUGUUGCCACUGAUUUAAGACUUCUGUACACAGCCCAGUAUGUACAGGUUUGUCAGAUUUAGUCAUGAAGUUGAAGGUUGUAGAAGAUCUGGAAUUCGUAUUCCUGGUCCCGAGAAGAUGACUCUAGAGUGUGUUGCCAUGGCAAAUACGCCUGUAUGUUCUGUAUAGCUAGAGUGUGAGAAGGUACAUGAAACUGUCUGAAACUUCUCUCUUUCCACGCGCCUCCUGGCCAGAAAUUACACUCUGCACAUUUUUUUUUCCAUAGUUGUAGACACACUUGUUCUGUCUCUAAUGAUGUCUUCAUCUAAGCAAAGAAAAUUACAGACUCGAAACACUGAGUCCCUAAGUGAGGCAAUGUCUCUCUGCUCCUCAGUGAUGCUAAUUCAAAGAUUUUCUGAGGGGAGCAGAUGGCACUCCUGUUUUUAACUUGCAGGUAGAAACACCAAAGACCAAAAUCACAUCGAAGCGAUCAGGAAGUCCUUAAGAUGACGACAGUGUGCUUAUUUUUCUGAUAGGAGCUACCGUUUUAAGGCUAAAACAUACAUGAUAUUAUUUGGAGCGUGGCGGCAGUGUCACACAUCACGCAGCAAAUAGAUUGCCAUUCUAAUCAAUGCAGCAAAGCAUACAGGGCGUGUAUCAACUCAGUCCCAGCAUUGUAUUGAGAGCAGCUCUGCUGAAGAUACGCGGCGAGUCUAUUGUUGCUGCUCUAUGCUUCCAAUGCGCAUCAGUCCACACAGAUACGAUUGUUCCAGACAGGAAGUCAAGCAUGAAAACCGCACAUGUCAUCCAGUAUUUCAAAAUAAAACACAAUAUGCGGACUCCUGACUGUGUAUCAGUUCAUGUAGAUAAGAAAUACAGUACUUCCUGGUUAUGGAUUUAUCAGGAACACAGAACAAUCUGAUGGUCAAUCCCUGAUCCAUGUGGACCCUAACAGGACUAUUAACUGCUAACUCUGUCUGAAGGUAACAGCACAGCAUUAAGGUCCUUACACACCGGGAGCAUUAUUUUUCGUGCGAUUAUUUCGGAUCACAUCGGCAACGUUUUCCCAUCCUGCUAUAUUGUGGCAUUUACUUUUUCGUAUCACGGUCGAUUUUUUGUGUGUCCACUUCUGACCAAUCAGAUUUCACGUCGUUGCGACGUCAGAUUCACCGGUAUAUCCAACAUGGCCGACCGGCUGAUUGUUUACGUGUCAGAGAACAGAUUACUUUUUGAUAAAAACACAAAUAUUACAAAGAUAACGACCUGAAGGACAACUUGUGGAGAGUCAUAGCGUCGGAUUUCUCAUAUGACGAUGGUUUGUGUGCUUUAACAGUUUGCUAAAUGUCUUUGUUUUAACUUUCAUCUGUGCUAAGUAACUUUAGCUCGUAAGCUAACCUGUUCAGAUACAACUUUCACUGUCUCGAACUCAAUCCCGUUGCUGUCACAGCACCAUUAGGUCUUGGUUGUUACCUUACGUUUAUGGAUUAUAGUUUAAUGUGCUUGUCUGGUACUGGCCCCGACUCAGUACAUGCUAUCAUGACAGACAGACAUCUCAACACUAGUGUCUAAUCAGAACUGAAAACAGUCAGUCUGCUGUUGUGUCAGUCUUCUCGUUUCCACCCGGGAUGCGUCUUUUUUCCCCCCAGAAAGUCCCAAAAUCACAUUGCGCUUGAUGUGUAUAAUCAGACGCGUCAAAAUUAGUAAUAUUUUACAAUAUUUCCUAAUUUGGCAUGGUAUAUUUGCGUUGUUCCCGGUGUGUAAGGACCUUACACCUGCAAAAAACGAAGCUGUAAAAUCACAUUGCUUUUUCACACGUAGUAGAGGCUCACCAGUCACCGAAUUAUAUCAAAAUCAGCAGGAGACAGACUGCAGAAAGACAAAACAACCUGUAAUGACCAUGUUUUUUUCUUUAUAGUGAGCCCAGCUGACCAGGGCUGCACUACGCUGCUGCUACGCUCCAAAUACGCAUCCUGUAUGUUUUCGGCUUUAAUGUGAGACCAGCGCCAAACGACGUUUUGACUGCCUCAGCCUGCAAGUUGCCGUAGCAACCUGUCAGCCCCCCGCCAGGCCCACAGCUGAAACCAAUUGACUAAUUAGGGACUGCUUUGACAUCACUACAUCAUUGAAUCACUUUCAGAGCUAUUCGAAUAAAUACUGAAAAGCUGACUCUCAAUCAGUCACAUUGCAUUUGUCCGAUUUUUCUUAAAAGGUCAAUGUUUUUGGUUAAAACUCAGCGUACAUGAAUCCUAUCAAGACUACUUCAAUCCAUUUUUUCCCCCUGUUAUCAGAGCAGUACAAAACUACACAUUUAAAACUCCACACACUAAACUUCAUAUCUGAUACCCUCACAAAAGACUUCCCCAACAUGAAAAAACAAUUCUCCAGUGGAUUGUCAGUUUCUAUCAGGCAGCCAAAUAAAAAGACAGAUUUGAAAAGAGAAAAUCACCGGAGAAGACAAGAAGAGAUCUCAAUUUUGUUAAUACAAAAUACUUAGUUUAUUAGUCUGUAAGGAAUUAACUGGAAUUAGAAACCUUCUUUAAGUUUACAGUUUGCUCGGGGCCCCAUGGACCACAACCACUUUUACAAUUCAUUCAUUAUUGGCAAUGAAAACCUAAUCAUACUGUUGUUCGGAUCUGAACUCAUCCAGAUUGGGAUAUUAAGUUGUAAAAUGGAGAAAAGAAUCCCAUUUUCUCCGCCGCUAAUGCAUCUUUUAACAGUGCUUUGAAAAACCCCCUGUGAGGGUUAUUUGAAUAUCAAUAAGCCAAGAGACUGUGUGUGAUCAAAAAACCUCCAGAGUCAAAAGUUUGCAGCCGAGCGUGGAUGACCCAGACAGAUGGCAGCUCUCAAUCCCUGGACAGUGAAAACGAGACUCAAGGCAAAACUUGAGAGGGAUGAAAUUUGAGCGAGCUUAAGAGGGUUGUGUUUCUCUAUGGGAGAAGGGAGGAGGGGGGAGGGGCACGGGGGCGUGCAGCUCUGUCUGCUGGUGCAGGGGGAUUUAGACAGAUUAAAGACUAGUAUUUAUGGGAGAGGUUUGUACUUUCAGAUGUUUACUUUACAGCAGGGGUCUGGGCUCUGUGGGACCCUGCAAGGUCAACCUACCACGGUAAAAAAAGGAUGCCACACAAGACUCCCAAAAAGUUUUUUUUUUUCCAAUGGCCAGCACAGUGGAAAAGGUAUUAUUUUCCUCAAAGCUGAGAUAAUGGAGCGCAGCAAGACUGGUAAAAAUGCCAUUUUGUACAUAUAAAGCUGGCCUGAAAAUAUGCAGCAGGGUAAACUUCAUAUGAAAACCAGCGGAGCUCUGAAACCAGAAUCAUCGGCUCAAAGAAGAUGAAUACUGUUAUAAAAACUACAUUAAUAUAAAGUAUGCUUUAUUGCAGAACUCAAGCUUUAAAGGAGAGAGCAAUACAUUCUAAUCUAUCAUCAGACAUUAAAGAAACAUGAAAUACUGGCUGCUUUUGGAGAUUAUAUCAGUCAGUAUAUCCUCCUCUGAAGUUUUGAAUUCAAAGUAACAAAAUGAACGACGCAAGUAUACGACGCAAAAUACGAAAUAUUCAGAGGCGAAUUUUGUCGCGCCUGACUAUACACAUCAAGCGCAAUGCGAUUUUGCGACUUUCCAGGGGGGGAAAAAAGACACGUCCCAGGUGGAAGCGAGGAGACUGACACAACAGCAGACUGACUGUUUUUCAGUUCUGAUUAGAUACUAGUGUUGACAUGUCUGUCUGUCAUGAUAGCAUGUACUGAGUCGGGGCCAGUACCAGAUAAGCACAUUAAACUAUAAUCCAUAAACGUAAGGUAACAACCGAGACCUAAUGGUGCUGUGACAGCAACGCGAUUGAGUUUGAGACAGUGAGAAUACAUAUGGUGUGUUGUAUCUGAACAGGUUAGCUUACGAGCUAAAGUUACUUAGCACAGAUGAAAGUUAAAACAAAGACGUUAAAGCACACAAACUAUAGUCAUAUGAGAGAUCUGACGCUAUGACUCUCCACAAGUUGUCCUUCAGGUCGUUAUCUUUGUAAUAUUUGUGUUUUUUAUCAAAAAGCACUCUGUUCUCCAACACGUAAAAAAUCAGCCGGUCGGCCAUGUUGGAUAUACC